This 59828-nucleotide long non-coding RNA is filed under the name Hordeum vulgare. Its description in RNAcentral is "long non-coding RNA (HVUL_LNC006178)". The record is from RNAcentral. Lineage: Eukaryota; Viridiplantae; Streptophyta; Magnoliopsida; Poales; Poaceae.
UUUUUAUUCGACUUCAUCUCCGACUAGAGCGUGUGGCAUGCCAUCGCCGACGGUCACCACGCGGACACCGGCCACCUCAGGCAUAGUUAUGCUUAUGAGGCUGUGUUGAGCAUGCUGCCACAGCCAGAGCCACAACCUGAACCAUGGCCACCAGAGUUGGCAUGGUUAGUCUCCCAUGAUCAUGCCACCACAUCCACCGCCACCGCACCCGGCGCCACAGCCUGAACCGCAGCCCCCAGACUUGGCAUGGCUCAUCUUGGAGCCUUCCAUGAUCAUGCGGCCACAUCCGCCGCCACCGCAGCCGGCACCACAGCCUGAACCACAGCCCCAGACUUGGCGUGGCUCAUCUUGGAGCCUUCCAUGACCAUGCCGCCACAUCCGCCGCCACCGCAGCCGGCGCCACAGCCUGAACCGCAGCCCCCAGACUUGGCAUGGCUCAUCCUGGAACCUUCCUUGACCAUGCCGUCACAACCGCCGCCACCGCAGCCGGCGCCACAGCCUGAACCACAGCCUCCAGACUUGGCAUGGCUCAUCUUGGAACCUUCCAUGACCAUGCUGCCACAACCGCCGCCACAGCCUGAACCGCAACCGCCUGACUUGGUGAAGCCAGUCUUGGAGCCUUCAAUGACCAUGCUGCCGCAGCCACCGCCACAGCCUGAACCGCAACCACCUGACUUGGCAAAGCCAGUCUUGGAGCCUUCCAUGACCAUGCUGCCGCAACCACCGCCGCAGCCAGAGCCGCAGCCUGAGCCACAACCACUAGACUUGGUGAAGCCACAACCGCCUGACUUGGCAUGGCCAGUUUUGGAGCCUUCAACCACCAUACCGCCACAACUGCCACCACAACCUGAACCGCAGCCGCUAGGCUUGGCAAUGCCACCCUUGGAACCUUCAAUGGCCAUGCCGCCACAACCUCCACCACCACAACCUGAACCACAGCCACCAGACUUGGUGUUCCCCUCCUUGGAGCUUUCAAUAACCAUGCUGCCACCGCAGGAACCGCCGCAUCCCGAUCCACACCCAGCAGACUCAAUAUGGCCAUUCUCUCCGCCUGCAACGACACCACAACUCGCAUGACCUUUCUUGUAGCUCAUGGUGACCACAGAGACACCACAUCCACCACCACAGCCUGAUCCACAACCACCGCACUUAGAAUCAGCCACCUUGCCGCUUGCAAUGACCGAGCCGGCACAGCUAGCAUGACCAGCCUUGUCACUUGCCAUGACCAUGUCGCCGCCACCGGCCGUGCCACAAGCGCCACAUUGUGCCGGACCAGCAGUGGCGCCUGCUGCUCCACCUUUCACCAUUUCAGAUGCCACUGUAGUAUCAGGCUGACCUUCAAUGAGCUUCGCACCAUGUUUUCCGAUGGAAUUCAGGAACAAGAAUGACAUCGCGAUCCAGGGAAGCAGAAACCAAUCCUCAUCCACCUAAAUUUAAGUAAGAAUGUACCAUGAGUGUAUCUGACAUGCAAGGAAAUUAAUUUUGACUAGUUAGAAGGAUAUGGCGUUAGAGCUGACGAUGUACCGUGAUAAAUUUUGAUUCAGUGUCAACUAGGGCGACUGCUUUGCCAUAGGGGUGUUCAGCCGAGAACUUCACAGCGGUAACUGCUGCUGCAGUAUCUUCAGCAUGCUGACUGCAGCAUUUGAGUUCAUAUGCUAGUCUCCUUCCCUUGUAUAGUUUGAUCUGCUUUGUUCAAAGAAGUACCAAAACUAUGAGUAUGAACUUAAAUGCAUAAACGUUUCUUAUUUACAUAUGAAUUAAUGUAAUCAUUAUCUUCAGAGCAAACAUGAAUUGAGCUGUACACUGCAACUGUCCUUACCAAUUUGUUGUCGUAUUUGAGCUCGUGUAUGCAGCCAUCCUUGCUUGGUUUCAGGUCAUGAGUGACGGAUGGGUUGGAGUUGUUGAGAGACCAUUUGUUUUCCGUGAAUUCUGCAAGCUGAAAUGGAUGCUUUGAUGACUUUGUUACUCCAACCAAUUCUUGAGUGAGAGCCAUGCCACUCUUGGCCUUGUGCUCCCUGAAUUAAGGGGAUGAAUUUCUCAUUAGACUAGAAAAAAAAACAGAUAUUUCAUUCAUAGUAAAAUAAUCCCCGCAAAUUUUUUUAGUAAAUUAGAACUUUGCCGUGUCCACUGGAAUAAAUUUGGAUCUGUUUUGAAGGCGAAAUACAGAUACUUCUAUAUAAGUCGAAUAUUAAUUCCUGCAGAAAACACCAAUUUGCAGUUUGAAAUGAAACUGUUAUUGGCAAUCGAUGUAUCACAUAGUAACUUUUUAUUCGUUUCUGCAACAGAAAAAAAAAUCCAAGUAUCAUGCAAGACGUACUAAUCAGCAGACAAAUGCGUUUCUAGACUCAAUGUUCAGUUCUUCACAUAUAUGUGCCGACUGAUGCCACGGACAGCGAAAAUACCUUAUCUGAAGACGAAUGAGUUCAGUACCACAAUCAUACACGAAGCGAGUCCAGGAGCUCAUAUCUUGAUCCUUGGUGGAAUGUGGCAAUAGACAGGCCUUCAGAGAGCAAGGCUUCACAUUCACCAUGCUAAGAACCUGUGAAGCCUGCCUUGGGACAGUACAAGAUGCGGCGACACGAAGACUGACAGGAGGGGAACCAGCAUAAGCGCCGCAACUUUUCAGUUCAAACCACCUCUCAAAGGAGAGCUUGGAAUCAUGCUGUGUAAGCUCUUGAAGAGAGAUCGAAACCUUCCCCAACGGUUCCGAUUUCUUCGAUGACGAUGCCCCAGAAUAGGCCAGAUCAACCAUUACUGUAAGAAUGAGUUCGCCGGUAGGUUCGCAUUGGAAACCAGCUCCAAUACUCUUCCCUAUUUUCGAUGAAAUAUCCAACCUGCCGCCAUCACCGAUAAGUGCAUCUGGUUGAGUCUUGGUGAACCAUACAUACACACUUUUCUCUGGAAUUGCAGAUGGUAAGUUCUUGAUGUCCACAAUCUGUAAGUAUAACUACAAAAGUAUGAAAAUAUUUUGAGUUAGUAAAUUCAGUAACUGUCUCUUGGCGCUGGAUCGUGUUUUUAGAUAACUGAUACCAGGCGUUUCUUCCAAAUUAAUAAUCUAAUAUUAAUAGUAGUACAACAUACAACAUUUUGGGUUAACUUACUAGAUCAGAAAAAACUUUGAAUCCAAAAUUAUUGACUACUUGUCUAACUGUUGCUUCAUGGACAGCAAUAAGAUGUAAAAAGAAUAUCAUACCUCCACAACUGCUGUUUCAACAACAGCAAGACGCUUCUCCGCUUCAUCGACACCAAAAACACCAUCUUCCUCACCACCAAAUUCUAUCCGAGGAACGGAUGUCACGGGAGACGGCAAGCUUCCACGGUACAUAGCGCCGGCCUUCCAGUACCUCACACCAAAGCAAUCCUCGAACUGCUCGGUGGUGCCUGAAAACCCGGUGUCGAGCUUCUUCCCUUCGGCCCGAUCGUCGUCCGUGUCAUCGUGCUCCAGAACUCUCCCAAGGAGACCCACCAUGUCAUCGCGGUAGGCAAGAGGAUUCAGUUGGUGGGUGUGCCACAUCAGAUCCACAUCGUAGGUUGGCACACGGAAGAGGUUCGUUCCUUUCUCCUGGUUCAUCUUGAUCAGAUACAAAAACCCUUUGUACCGAGCCAAAGCGUCUUCAAGGAAACGGCGAUCAUGCAUGGUUGGUGUUCCAACCUGCCAGAAACGAAGGAAUUCACUGAAUUUCUCUACAUAUUUAUUUAACAGAGCAAAGUUUAGUAGUGUGACCAGCUACCUGGUAGACGAAAGAAGACUGUCUCUUAACAGCUGAGAUCAAAUCGUAGGAAAUGCCUCCUGCGGUUCCAUCGCCCACGUAAACAGAUUCUGUAGUGUACUCCAACUCAAAGGGCUCCCCAGGAUAUAACUCGGUCCAAACUUUCUCGGACGGAUCCUUGGACUUUGCUUGAACGGAGGACUUGACAUUGUUAGAGUCCAAUAUCCUGCCAUAUAAUCUCUUGCAAUCCUUUAUGUAUCGAUUCUGAAACAAGAUGAUUUUGAUUUAGAAAUUAUUUCCAGCCAUGUUGACACUAGUAUUUUCUUUUAUGCCAGGUGUUGCAAACAUAUACUGCUAGUUCUCCAAUGUUGUGAUGACAGAUUUUGAACGACACACGAACAUCUGUGAGUUAAUAUAUGUGUACCGGGUUAAGCCGAUGGCAGUGCCAUAUCCAUUCGCAGUCAAGCGGAACAACCAGAGGCUCAUCAUCUGCAAGAAUAGCGGCCUUGGUGUGCUUGGCAAGAAGGGGAAGCCAGCAAGCUUUGUACCUAGCACAACAACAAAGUCAGACAAUAUUUCGAAGUCUUCCAUACGAUACAGAACAUAAACUAAUUUAGCACCGGUGAUAUUUUUUACAUAGUAGUAUAAUCAGUGAUUUCAGCAUGAUAUACAGGGUCUUUAAAAGUAAAAUAGGCAGACAGAUUUAAUUACAUGCCAAAACUAUCUAGAUAAGGCCCGAAACUGUAGCACCAGACUGUAACUGGAAGCACAGACCAGAGGAUGGUUUCAGAAGGAAAAAUUACUGGCGAUUAUCGAUGCCAUUCCUUAUUAUAAAACUGAAAACCCAAACAUAUAUUCUCAGUUCAACUCUGUUCCACCGACCUAAUUAUACCAAGGUUAACUGAACUAGUGUUUUCUUUCUGUCUGAUUUUGCUGAAGAAGCAUGUGUCUGUCAGGGUGAUUCAACAGGAGUUUACCGAAGAAACAUGGCAACGAUUAAUCACUGAGAAAAUUUCACUCCCAGCACAAGAAGACGCCAUAGAUGGUAGAAAGUGUUGAUCAACAAUACCCAGAAGAUAAAAGAAAAAACGAUGAAACGCCUCGGAAAACAAACUAGAUUCACAGACGCGAUGGUCUCUCUUGUGCUGCUCAAGAGGCAACAGGAUGGAUGGCGAUAGUCGGUAGGUACCUGCGUAUGGCCCUGUGGAGCAGCGGGCCGUCGUAGAGCCACCGGCGGCGGUCGACCGCGGCGAGGAACUCCAGCUGCCGCAGCGCGGCCGGGACGAGGUCCUCGCCGAUGCCGAUCCCCUGCGCCGCCGCCCACCGCGACUCCUGCUCCGCGUCCAUCUUUCUUCUCCCUCCUUGCUCCGAUCGUCCCCACCCCACCCACCUGCAAGAACCUGAGUGAGGGAGACUGCGCUACGGACUCCGAUGGCUGACUCUCUGCCACCAAGUAACCAUGCAUGGCUCCCUAUUUAUGCACCGAGGGAGGGAGCCAGGAGCACGCAAAUAGUGUACGGCGAGGCAAAACACAGCACAGAGAUAAAUUAUUGACCAACUGAAAUACUCCACUAGCAUCGAUCGCUAUCCAAUCCACGGCGAAUAAUGUAUGAGCUGCUUUCAGUUAAGGGCACUCGUACGUAGCGUGUGCUGCGCGCGCAUGAACAACUCUGCACGCUUUCUGAACCCAUACGAUAUCCAUCCAUGCAUGAUCGAUCUUUCUUGCCAACUAUGCACACUUGUGGCUGCUGGUACUGCAAAAGCAAAUGCAAGUGCAAGUGCAAGUGCAUGCAUCUUCUACCAACUCUCCAGCUUCCUUUUGCAGCUCGUUUAGAAACUUUGAAAUGCAGAAAAAGAUAUUACACCUGCUAUAAAUACUAUGCACACAGUAGUACGACAAGUUUUUAGAUCAGUGACAAGAAGUAAAAUUUAGUCUGGAUCAUGUAACAAAACCGUGGCAAUAAUUUCGCAGGACCCUAGCUAAUCCUUGCAAAAAGUAUUGUUGCUUGCAAACCCAAGAAAACUAUGUGAUGUAACACAUCACGCUUGGACUAUUCAAUAAUGGAGAUGCUCGGCCUGUGCGGAUCAUGCCGCUUCCGGAGCAUACGCAGCACGAUAGUAGUACACUCGUACUGCAGUAGUACAGGGCUCAAGGCGUUUGAUCGUACGGUACGUCACAUGGCCGUGGUUUCUGCCAGGUCAUCUCCGCACCGGAUAAACAAUUCUGGGGCGGAAUUAUGCUAUUAUUACAGAUUAGAGCAUCUCCAAAAGUUCCAUAAAAUAAUUACAGUUUAGGGGAAGUUGGGCACACAAAAAACAGUCUCCAAACAUUUCCAUAAACGCCCAAGAAAUUACAAAUAAUCCCGUGUAACCUUAAAAAAAACCUUCAUCUACGGGAAGAUGACCGCCCUUUCCGUAAAAGUGUCACACCACCCAAUCCCCAUUGGACGCCCCCCCCCCCACCACCACCAACGACUGUCGUGCAGCUUGCUCGCCGUCGCUGAACAACAUCGUAUGAUGUCACCACCGUUAGUUGGGGUUGCGUCACCACGAAAAACCACUUAUAGGGAAAGUUUUCACGGAACUGAGAAAAGACCGCACCUUGGAACUUCCUCCAAGUUAUAUGGACAUCCCGUAAAACCACUUCUAUGGAGAAUUUUUUACAGAAACCGUUGAAGAUGCUCGUCCGUUGGGUUUAUAUGGUGUUUGAUUGGGUUUAUUCUUGGCUUUUGCACUUUGGUUUAUAAGCUCAAAAACAUCUAUUUAUGGGAUUCUGGCUUUAGCUUUUGGCUUACAUAAACAUGUAGCAACACUGAGUCAUAAGUCUAAAGCGUAUAAAUAGGUCAUUUUUUUGGUUUACAAACCAAAGUGUAAAUGCCAGAAACAUGACCAAGUCUCACGUUGGUUGUCGGAGGUAGAAGAUGACUUAUAAGAAUGUAGUGUCCCCUCCUAUCAAGCUGGUCUUUCAGACAAUAUCUUAUUUUUGACCCUCUUUAGAAAGGGAAUUUUUGUUUUAGCCAUUGUAGAUUUUGCUCAUUUUCCUUAUCCCACUCUAGUUUUUGACAUGUCACUUUUGUCACUCUUAGCUUUUGACAAUACAUCACAAUUGUCAUUUCAUGGCAAAAGCAAAAUAAUUUCAUUUCACUUUUGCCAUUUUCUAUGUAGGUUAUGAGGCAAAGCAACAAAGACUAAGACCGAGCAAAACAACAUAUAAUCUAGUGAAAUGUGCUAAAAUUGAUAACAAAAUUCAUGAUGCUUGUAUUGUAUCUAAUGCCAAAGUAAAUUACGUGGAGAUCGGGCGACAUAAAAAACUUAGCAAAUUAUGUAGGGGAACCAUCAUCAACUCCCCACGAGUACCGUUGCUUGUUUUCUUAUUGUUCUUAGGCGUCAUCCCAUUGUAUAUGUUCUACUAUUUGCGGCACAUUUGAAUUAUCUAGGAUUAUAUGUUGUGCCAAAUAUUAGUUGCAUACUCUUGCUGGGAUGGAUUGCUCUUGUCUUGCACCGCCUUUUUGCGGCACGAGAUGUAAAUGAUUCAAGGCCAAGUGUGGUGUAGGCAUGCAAUGGCAUCAUAUCACUUAACCUAGUAAAUGUAAAAACAUACAUGCCCAUAAAAUAUCAAAAAAUGAGCAACACCAACGACUCCAGGAUAAACCACUCACUCACAAUUUAUUUACUCUAGAAUUUUUUUAAAUCAGUAGAUUUUUAGUUAUCCCUUCUAUUUACUUACACCUAAAAACAAAAAUCUUGCACUCUAGAAACCUCCGUCAACUUUAGAUAUUUCUCCCAUGGUAUUUAAAGAUACUAUAAAAGACAGAAUGAUAUAUACAUAUACUUAGAAUUUAUCUAAGUGGCAAAAUGGAAUAGGUGAUAGAAUGCGAGUUUGAUCUUUUUGGCUUUUCUUUGCUACAGAGGAAUUCUGAUCUAACGGGGGCUUUUAAGGGGAACUAUCUAAAGAAGGAAACUAUAAAUGCCACCUUUUAUGCAUACUAUAUUCUAUAAAUAUAGUGUAUGUAUAAUUGUAUUGUAGAUGUUAAAAUUGUAUAACAUGAGUAUUUUAUCACAAUAUAUAGUAGCAUUGUUGGGAAACUAAAUCGGUCCAGACAGUAUGUUGAGAUAAUAAGUUAAAAAUAAGUAAAAAAAUGUAGUAUAAAUAAAUGAAUAUAAUUUAGGCUAUCUUACUUGUAAAAUGAACCCAUGGUCUACCGUCGGUCUGUCGCCAUAGCCCUGAGCUUCUCGACUCGUGCGGCGUCCGAAAGCAGUGGCGGAACGAGGAACGAAAUGAAGGGUGUGCACACUUUAAAAAAAAAUCCUACCUAAUCCAAGUGUAACAAAAUAUGGCAAAAGAAUUACAUAAAUAGCUCAAUUCAAAUCUCACAACCAUUUAGUUCACAAAAUAUAUCCCAAAUGUGCUCAGUUACAAUACAAAAGGCUUACAUGAAAGAAACAGAAGUAAAAAAUUACAACACUAGGUAACUCUACGUCGUUACAUUGCCAUGAAAGCAUCAACUAUUUCAUCUUCACUUACUUUCAUGAACACAUCUCGCUCAAUGAAUAUCAUCAAGCAAUUAUUCAAGCGAUCAUCACCCAAGCUAGUCCUCAAUUUAUUUUUCACUAGAUUCAUUGCAGAAAAUACCCUUUCAACACUCGUCGUUGCCACUGGUAAAAUCAAUAUCAAUUUGAUGAGUAAGUGGACCAAAUCAUAAAGAACAUGCUUCUUUGUUGCAACAAGCAAAAUAGAGAGAUCACCAAUAUUACUUGCAUUUCUAAACCUAUCAUCUUGUCUCAUAUCAUAAAUAAAAGUACCAAGUUGAAAUUCUAGCCUUAUCAAAUCCGUGCUUGAUAUGUCCAUGGGAUAGAAUUCAACAAGUUUUAUUUCCUUGAAUGCAUCAUAAGAAGCAAAUGAAUUGAGGGGAUUCAAAGCCGACAUGCAAAUAAGCAACUCCGUAUUAACCUCGUCAAACCGGUUGUUAAGCUCUUGAAUGAUUUGGUCAAUGACACCAAGAUAUAUUUCUCUUCUAUAACGAUCAUCAUUUGUUUGUACUUCAUAAUACCGACGUGAUCUUCCAUGAUGCUCAUAAGUAUCCUGCCAUAAAGGAACUUGAAUGCCAUGUUUGUUGCAAAAUAAGGUUAGCUUUGCAAGAAAUUCUUCCCAACCAUGACACCUCAUGUGUUGCAUUCUACUCUUUGCCAAACUAACAAGUGCCAUUGCAUUAACAAUAUAUUAAUCUCUCUUUUGCAAAGAUUUGGACAACUCAUUUGUAUAGCCAAGAAUAACAAGCAUCAAGUGAAGAUUGAAAACAAAUUCAAAUGAUUCAAUGGCUUGAGUAACUCCAUGUAUUCUUGUCCAUUCACCUUUUUGUGAAGGAUCUUUUCCAAUGGCGUCAAGUACCUCAAGAAUUGUGGAAUACAUAUGCUAACAAUAUGCAUAAUGGUUUUAAAAUGAGAAACCCAACGAGUAUCGCCGGGUCUAGAUAGUCCCAUCUCUUGAUUUAGCCCACUUCCACUUUCAAUCUCACCCAUUUCAAGAGCUUCCAAAACCUUUUGAGCUCUAACAUCUCGAAGCAUGUCAUGUCGCCUACAAGAAACUCCAACUACAUUGAGCAAGUAAGAAACAUGAUCAAAGAACCACAAACAUGGUUCAUUAUCCUUUGCCACAGCUAUAAGAACCAAUUGAAGUUGAUGUGCAAAACAAUGGAUGUAAUAGGCCGAGGGUGACUCUUUCAUGACCAAAGUUUUCAAUCCUUUAGUCUCCCCUUUCAUGUUGUUAGCCCCAUCAUAUCCUUGCCCACGUAUUUGACUAGGUGUCAAAUGAUGAUCUUUAAGCAAAGUUUGAAUUGCAUCCUUAAGUGACAAUGAAGUUGUAUUGGGAACAUGAACAACUCCAAGGAACCUCUCAUACCCUCUUCCCGAUUUAUCAACAUAACGUAUGUAGAGAGCAAGUUGUUCUUUGUGAGAUGCAUCACUGGACUCAUCAGCUAGGAUUGCAUAGUGGUCAUAACCAAUAUCUUCAAUAAUUCUUUUAGUUGUUUGCGCCGCACAACAUUCAAUUAUUUGAUUUUGUAUCUUUGGACUAGUCAAUAUGCAAUUCCCAGGAGCAUUGUUCAGAACAACCUUAUUAACUUCUUCUUCAUUUGCAGAAAGUCAUUUAAGAAGUUCAAGAAAGUUCCCCCUAUUGCUAGAGUCUUCACUUUCAUCAUGUCCACGAAAUGCCAAUCCUUGGUUCAAAAGAAACCUCAAGCAUCUAAGUGAAUAAGUUAGCCUAGCCAUGUACAUACGUAGAUCCUCUUUAGACGCCCUCACAAUGAUAUCAUCAAUUGAUGGUUGGGGUAACACAAACAAAUUGUACUUCUCUUGAGCUUUGUUGUGAAUGCUAUUUAUACCACCUUCAUGUUUGUCUAAUGCAUCAAGACCUAUACCAAUUUUUCCAAGCACCUUUAACAAAUGUAUCACCCCUAGGUCCCCCAUUCGAUUUGCCUUUGAACAAAUAACACACAAAGCAAAAUGUUGCCUCAUAUUUGACACUAUAUUCUAGCCAUUUAUAGUUCUCAAACCAAACAAAGUUGAAGUGUCGAUUUUUACCAUACAUUUUCUUGACUUCAAAGUUGUGUGCAUAUGGUUGGAUUGCAUUCUUUGCAAUGUACCGUUUCCGAACUUUAUCUUGAUCACCGACAUCAUACUCUGAAAUAGGAAUCCUUUCCCCUGGAUUAGUUGGAAGCCUUUGAAUAUUAUAUGAUCUUGCAUUUGGAUGUUGAGGUGAUGGUUGUCGUGGCGCUUCAUCAUCAAUAUCAAUGUCAAUCUCUAGAUCGGAAUGGACUGGAGGUGAAUAAAUAUCAAUGUCAAUCUCUGAAUCUAAAUGGAGUGGAGGCAGUGGAGGUGGAUCAAUAUCAGGUUUAUGUUGCUCUUGGGCUGCAACCUUUCUUGUUUUUGCCUCAUAAUUGAGGAAAAAUGACUUAAUGUCAUCAUUCCUCUUCAUCUUCAGAUGUACUAUAAUUAAAACAUAAUGUCACUACAAAGUUGUAACUGCAAAGAGCAAAGUCUGCAAACAAGAUACAAACUCAUCCACCAAGCAACUCACCCACGAGCCAUGAGGCCACAACGAGCGGCUCUGCCCUGGGCGAGCAGCGACGCACCGUCGGAGCGGCAGGACUGGGAGCAGUGGCGGAAGCUCCGCGGCUGGGCAGGCAGUGCCGGAAUGGCGGAAGACCGUGUUGGGGAACGUCGCAUGGGAAACAAAAAUUUUCCUACGCGCACGAAGACCUAUCAUGGUGAUGUCCAUCUACGAGAGGGGAUGAGUGAUCUACGUACCCUUGUAGACCGUACAGCAGAAGCGUUAGAGAACGCGGUUGAUGUAGUGGAACGUCCUCACAUCCCUCGAUCCGCCCCGCGAACAAUCCCGCGAUCAGUCCCACGAUCUAGUACCGAACGGACGACACCUCCGCGUUCAGCACACGUACAGCUCGACGAUGAUCUCGGCCUUCUUGAUCCAGCAAGAGAGACGGAGAGGUAGAAGAGUUCUCCGGCAGCGUGACGGCGCUCCGGAGGUUGGUGAUGACCUUGUCUCAGCAGGGCUCCGCCCGAGCUCCGCAGAAACGCGAUCUAGAGGAAAAACCGUGGAGGUAUGUGGUCGGGCUGCCGUGGAAAAAUCGUCUCAAAUCAGCCCUAAAACCUCCGUAUAUAUAGGUGGGAGGGAGGGGACCUUGCCUUGGGGCUCAAGGAGCCCCAAGGGGGUCGGCCGAGUCCAAGGGGGAAGGCUCCCCCCAAAACCGAGUUGGACUUGGUUUGGUGGGAGGGAGUCCUUCCCUUCCUUCCCACCUCCUCUUUUUUUUCCUUUUCUCUUGAUUUUCUCUUCUUGGCGCAUAGGGCCCUUUUGGGCUGUCCCACCAGCCCACUAAGGGCUGGUGUGCCACCCUCAAGGCCUAUGGGCUUCCCCGGGGUGGGUUGCCCCCCUCGGUGAACUCCCGGAACCCAUUCGUCAUUCCCGGUACAUUCCCGGUAACUCCGAAAACCUUCCGGUAAUCAAAUGAGGUCAUCCUAUAUAUCAAUCUUCGUUUUCGGACCAUUCCGGAAACCCUCCUGACGUCCGUGAUCUCAUCCGGGACUCCGAACAACAUUCGGUAACCAACCAUAUAACUCGAAUACGCAAGAAACAACGUCGAACCUUAAGUGUGCAGACCCUGCGGGUUCGAGAACUAUGUAGACAUGACCCGGGAGACUCCUCGGUCAAUAUCCAAUAGCGGGACCUGGAUGCCCAUAUUGGAUCCUACAUAUUCUACGAAGAUCUUAUCGUUUGAACCUCAGUGCCAAGGAUUCAUAUAACCCCGUAUGUCAUUCCCUUUGUCCUUCGGUAUGUUACUUGCCCGAGAUUUGAUCGUGAGUAUCCGCAUACCUAUUUCAAUCUCGUUUACCGGCAAGUCUCUUUACUCGUUCCGUAAUACAAGAUCCCGCAACUUACACUAAGUCACAUUGCUUGCAAGGCUUGUGUGUGAUGAUGUAUUACCGAGUGGGCCCCGAGAUACCUCUCCGUCACACGGAGUGACAAAUCCCAGUCUCGAUCCAUACUAACUCAACGAACACCUUCGGAGAUACCUGUAGAACAUCUUUAUAGUCACCCAGUUACGUUGCGACGUUUGAUACACACAAAGCAUUCCUCCGGUGUCCGUGAGUUAUAUGAUCUCAUGGUCAUAGGAACAAAUACUUGACACGCAGAAAACAAUAGCAACAAAAUGACACGAUCAACAUGCUACGUCUAUUAGUUUGGGUCUAGUCCAUCACAUGAUUCUCCUAAUGAUGCGAUCCCGUUAUCAAGUGACAACACUUGCCUAUGGCCAGGAAACCUUGACCAUCUUUGAUCAAUGAGCUAGUCAACUAGAGGCUUACUAGGGACAGUGUUUUGUCUAUGUAUCCACACAAGUAUUGUGUUUCCAAUCAAUACAAUUAUAGCAUGGAUAAUAAACGAUUAUCAUGAACAAAGAAACAUAAUAAUAACUAAUUUAUUAUUGCCUCUAGGGCAUAUUUCCAACAGACCGGAGGGGCGGAGCCGCGGAGGGCAGAUGGCUAGGGCGCCGGAGCCGGAGCGCGAUGGAGCGGGGGAGCCGGGGCCAGAUGGGACGAGGGGAGCCGGGGAGGACCGGCGGUCGCGGCGACCGGCGGGGAGGCGCCGAGCAACGGCGGCCCGGCGGCCGAGCGCGAGCCCUAGCGGGGAGCAGGUUGCGGCGUCCUCUAUGUUAGGAAUUAAUUAAAUGUAUUAAUUAAUGGGAUAAUCCCUGCGUUGCCGGUUGCCUUGUUUUAGCAACCGUUCCUUGUAAACCGCCUCUGUAACAGGGGUAUAAAUACCCACAUCUUCAAUCAAUGAAAACACUGUUCCAUCAUUCUGUCACUUUCACUACUUUACACGUUAUCAGCGCUCGCUCUGCCGAGAGCGACAGAGAGCCAAGAGAAAGGUGAGAAUGGCAGGGAGAGAUUUGUCCUCGCUUGCUUUUGCUUUCGCACGUUUCCUGCAGAAAGAAGACAGCCGCUUCACUCGCACGCAGCGCCACCGCAUUGCACGUCGCCGUCAGGGUCUUGGUGCAAGGAAUGGCCCUCGCCGCCGUUCCUUCACCAGGAACCACCGCCAGAACCGGAGUGGCCCUCAUCGCCGCUUCUUCGCCGGGAACCACCGCCAGAACCGCCGCCGUGGGGCCAUCAGCGUCGUUCCUCGAAGAAGAUGUGAUGUUCCCCUGUGAACUUGCGCCGCCGCCUCUUCCUCCAUACUGCAUGCAGCACGGAUUCGGGCCAUGCCCUGCGCGCACGGAUGGCCACGUCCCGGAGCUGCCAUCCCCGACGCCGGCAGCGGCAGCACACACCGGCCCCGUCCCGGAUCUGCCAUCUCCGACACCGGAUCGAGAGGAACGAGGCGGUUAUCCCACCAUCCCCAUCUUGAACAUCCAGAUCAAGGUUGAAGAAGAGGGGAUGGAGGCCAUGGGCUCGUCGUCGUCGCUCCGCCCUCCAUCACCGGCGAUACCUCCUCCUCCUCCGGCUCCGCCCCUUCCGCUGACGCCACCGCCGGAAGCUCGCCGGAUCCUGUGCUAGUUCGCCGCUGCUAUGGCGCAGAACCGGGCGGCUCUUCGUGGCGCGUGGUCGCCGGACGCCCUGGGCUUCGCCGGCGCACCGGAGGCAAGCAGCAGCGGGAGUAGCCGGGCUGCGCUGCGGGGCCAGCCCCGUUUUCCUUGAAGCAGCCAUGGGGAGAGGAGGCUGGAGUUGUGAGGUGUUUGGGUCUGCAUCGGGAAGAAGAUGGGAAACAGGAGAGAAGUGGCUGUGUGGCCUCGGCUUGCUGCCUUGCUCUCUCCCUUAUCCAUUUCUCCAACCGGUAUAUGGUCCAACACAGGCCACGUCCACUCCAAACUCCAAGCCACGUUUUCCUCUCCAAAAGGCCUACAAGCCACGUUUCCUCUUCAAAAGGCAUACAGGCCAGGAAAUAAAGUGACUAUUAGCGUUGUGUUUUAAUCAUAGUACUACUAUGCUGCAAUUACUAUAUUGCACUGCAGAUUGUUCCUUUUUAUUUCAGUGUGAUAUGUUAUUGUAUUAAGAACCUCUCCUUAUCAUAUUCACUCGGUAUUGUACUGUAGUAUGAAUACUUAGAUUGUAUAUUGUCUAAAAUAAAGUCUCAGAUUAUGUGUACAUAUUCUAUAUAAUUGCCUCAGCAAUUUUCAUUUUUUUAGAAUAUGUAGUUUUCAAGUACAAUUUUUUUUUAAUUCAAAUUUUUGGGAUCACAAGGUAGAUGAGGCAUCUACUGCAUUUUGCAGAUUAUCCUCAUCGCUGAAAGAUCUACAUUUUGCCUUCGUUAUUUUGGCAAAAUGACUAUCUUCGAGUGCUCUCCCGAAUAUGCGAAUUAAUGUGACUACCUCAAAUUUUUACAAAUCACAAGGUAAUUGUGUGAUCUACUGCAUAAUUUGCAGAUUAUCCACUCUUGCUGAGAGGUCUACAUCUAGUCUUUUGACAAGAUGACUACCUUCAAAGUGUUUUUGUAAAAUAUAGUAUGACACAAGGUAAUGGACUACGAACAUCUACUGGUCAAAACCAGACUAUGUUCUCCACUACUAUGAGAUCUACACCCCAACGGUGAAUAUUUUCGAAGUGUCAUAUACAUAAAAUGAGGUCUACACAUAAAGCAUCAGCUAUACUUGAAAAUUUUGCUUCCUAAAGCAUUUGUUGUAACUUAUAUUUUACUCUCAUAGUAAAACUAAAUUAUGCAUGAAAAUACCAUGCAGGAAAUGGCUGGUGUCAUGCAUCGUGAAUUUCAUGAACUUGAACUAGAUGGUAGUAUCUAUUUACCAUGGGCUAUGGAUGCAAAGAUAGCCCUCGAAAGCCGUAAACUCGGUUUCACUAUCACCACACCCGUUGAAGGCGCCGGAGAAAUCCCCACGGCAGCCAAAUAUAGAGCUUUAAGUUUCUUAAGGCACCAUCUCCAUUCAGACUUAAAGUCGGAAUAUUUGAUGGAAGAAGAUCCACUGGUUUUGUGGAACUCUCUCAAGGAGAGAUAUGACCAGCAAAGAGCAGUCAUGCUGCCAGAAGCACAGAGAGAAUGGUCCCUCAUAAGGUUCCAAGACUUCAAAUCUGUGGCAGCAUAUAACUCUGCAGUUCACAAGGUUAACUCAAAACUAAGGUUUUGCAAUCAAGAAAUUUCUGAAGAAGACCUUAUUGAGAAGACCUUGUGCACUUUCCACCCCUCGAUGAGGGUACUACAAUAGAAGUACCGUCAACAAAAAUACAAAAAGUAUUCUGAGCUCAUAUACACUUUACUUCAGGCUGAGAAACAUGAUGAACUUCUCAUGAAGAAUCAUCAGACACGCCCAACGGGCUCAAUGCCACUCCCUGAAGCACAUGCUAACACUCAGUUUACUAAAAAGUAUGGGGGCAACAAAAAGAAUUUCAAAAAAUUCAAUGGAAAGUGGAAAAGGAACAACAAGCAGAAAAGCUUUGGUCAAUCUAAAGGUAAAGGUCACUUCAAGAAAAAUGACCGAAACACCAACUCCGAGAUUUGUCAAAGAUGUGGAUGUACUAACCAUCGUACUAGUAAAUGCCGAACUCCCAAGCAUCUAGCGGAUUUAUACAUCAAAUCCACUGGGAAAGGCAAACAAGUUCAUGGAAAAGCCGAAGCUCACUUCAACGCCUUACAACAAGAAGAAAACCUUGAAGCUAGCACUUCUCAAAGCGCUCCUAAGGAAACAAGGCAGAAGGAUGAAGAUCUUCUUGAUGUUGGCAACAUGAUGGUGGAAUACACCCAAGACGCAUAGAGAUCUUAUAUAAUCUCCACAUCACUCAUUUGAUGUUAUCAACUAUUUUAUUGUAAUAAUGGAUGUUAUAAUUUGUAUAACUCUAAGUAGAAUAAAAGUCCUACGGACCAAUCGUAUUAUGUAAUUCAAACAUAAUGUCAUAUUUAUAUUUGUAACUGUAAUAUGAAUACUUUGUAUGUAUAUAUUUAUAUGUGAGUAAUAUGAAUAAAGUUUCAUCCUAAAAUAUUCUUUUACUCUAUAUAGAUUUUACGGGAAAAUAAUCCAAUGGAAGAAGAAUUAUGUUUGGUGGACAGUUGUACCAGUAACACAAUAUUAAGGGAAAUAAAAUAUUUCCAAACUCUAACUAAGAGAAAAGGGAAUAUUAUGACCAUUGACAGUCGCGAUGCGUCGAUUAUUGGUUCAGGACGAGCCACACUCGUUCUACCUAUGGGUAGUACAAUUGCAAUUGAGGAUGCACUAUUGUAUCCUCAAUCUACACGCACUCUUCUAAGUUUCAAAGACCUCAGAUCAAAUAACUUCCAUUUGGAAACAAUAUCUGAAAAUAAUUUUGAACAUUUGCUUUUAACAAAGAGUAAUGGGUCUGAGAAACAAAUUCUUGAGAAAUUCCCCUCACUUUCAUCUGGAUUAUAUUACAGUUAUAUAAAACCCGUACCACAUGUUGCGUACAAAAUAAUUUUUCAAGAUCUUGAUAAAUUCAAGACUUGGCAUGAUCGCCUAGGUCAUCCUGGCGUAGGGAUGAUGACAAAAAUUAUUGACAAUUCUAUUGGUCACAGCCUUCCAACUAUAAAUUUCCCAAAAUCAUCAGAUUUUGUGUGCACCGCAUGUGCAACUGGAAAAUUAAUUAUAAAACCAUCUUAUCUUAAAGUUAAAAAUGAGUCAUUAAAUUUUCUUGAACGCAUUCAAGGAGAUAUAUGUGGUCCAAUUCAAGCACUAUCAGGACCUUUUAGAUAUUUCAUGGUGCUCAUAUAUGCAUCUACUAGAUGGUCACAUGUGUGUCUAUUGUCCACACGAAAUCAUGCUUUUUCCAAGCUAAUUGAUCAAAUUAUCAAAUUAAGAGCAAAUCAUCCUAAAAAUAGGAUAAAAACAAUUCGAAUGGAUAAUGCCGCUGAAUUUUCUUCACGUGCAUUCAAUGACUAUUGCAUGGCUAUGGGCAUUCAUUUAGAACAUUUUGUGCCUUAUGUUCAUACUCAAAAUGGUUUGGCUGAAUCUCUCAUCAAAAGAGUAAAAUUAGUUGCUCGACCACUAUUACAGAAUUGUAAUUUACCAGCAUCAUGUUGGGCACAUGCGGUAUUACACGCCGCAGAUCUGAUACAAAUCAGACCAACUGCAUAUCAUACAACCUCCCCGCUACAACUAGUACGUAGCACUCAGCCAAGUAUUUCCCAUCUACGAAAAUUCGGUUGCGCAGUAUACGUACCGAUAUCACCACCGCAGCGUACAUCCAUGGGCCCCCACAGAAAACUAGGGAUCUAUGUGGGUUAUAACUCUCCGUCAAUAAUAAAAUAUCUUGAACCUCUUACAGGGGACCUGUUUACUGCCCGCUACGCUGAUUCAAUUUUUGAUGAGGACCAUUUUCAGGCAUUAGGGGGAGAAUCAAACCACAAAGAAUGCCAGGAAAUAGAUUGGAAUGUAACAGGCAUUCAGUCCUUAGAUCCACGUACUAAAGAAUCUGAAACUGAAGUUCAGAGGAUCAUAGAUUUGCAACAUAUUGCAAAUAAUCUGCCAGAUGCAUUUACUGACCAUAAAGGUGUCACUAAAUCACAUAUUCCCGCUGUUAAUGCACCAGAACGAGUGGAGGUACCAACUAAAACCACUCAAACCACAAAUGAGAGUAAGAGGGGGAGAAAUCUGGUUAGUCGGAAUAUAGCUUCUCAAAAGCCUCCGCGGAAACAGAGGAAAUCAAAUCCUCUACCAGUAAAUGCAAUUCAACCUCAAGUUGAAGGACACCAACCAGAUGCUCAACAUCUUGAACCUAGCAUAAAUGCGCAUAAAAACAUAAUUGCUGGGACAUCGGAACACCAUGGUUCUAUUGUUGUGGGAAAUCACAUAGAGUCUGAAGGUAUAAAAGAAAUUUCCAUAAACUAUACAGAAUCAGGAGAAUCAUAUAAUAGAGAGACUACAAUUGUCGACAUAUAUUUCGCCUCUAAAAUUGCUGAAACCCUUCAACUGGAUCCAGAACCAAAGACCGUCAGGGAGUGCCUCAAGCGUCCUGAUUGGCCUAAAUGGAAGGAAGCAAUUGAGGCAGAAGUGCGCUCGCUCAACAAAAGAGAGGUAUUUUCCUCGGUAAUACCUACUCCUCAUAAUGUAUUCCCUGUUGGAGCAAAAUGGGUUUUUGUUCGAAAAAGGAAUGAAAACAAUGAGGUGGUGAGAUACAAAGCGAGGCUUGUAGCACAAGGGUUCACGCAGAGGCCCGACAUCGAUUACGAUGAUACAUACUCUCCUGUAAUGAGUGGAAUAACGUUUCGAUACUUAAUAUCUUUGGCAGUACAAAUGAAUUUAUCUAUGCAGUUGAUGGAUGUAGUGACAACAUACUUAUAUGGGUCACUCAAAUCGGACAUAUAUAUGAAAGUCCCUGAAUGACUUAAAAUGUCGAAUCCAAAAGAAAAUCGCAACGCAUAUUGUGUAAAAUUACAAAAGUCACUAUAUGGCUUAAAACAAUCGGGUAGAAUGUGGUAUAACCGACUGAGUGAGUUCCUUAUUCAAAAAGGCUACUCAAAUAAUGAUGAUUGCCCUUGUGUAUUGAUAAAGAAAUCCUCAAAUGGAUUUUGCAUCAUCUCAGUGUACGUUGAUGACCUCAAUAUCAUGGGAAGUACACCUGAUAUCGAAGAAGCACACAAUCAUCUAAUGGCGAAUUUGAGAUGAAAGAUUUGGGAAAGACCAAAUUCUGCUUAGGCUUACAGCUUGAGCAUCUUCCCUCGGGAAUUUUAGUAUACCAACCUGCAUAUAUUCAAAAGGUUUUGGAAAAUUUUAAUAUGGAUAAAUCAUAUCCAACCAAAACACCCAUGGUUGUCAGAUCCCUUGAUAUGAAUAAAGAUCCUUUUAGACCUCGGGAUGAUGACGAAGAGAUAUUAGGACCUGAGUUCCCGUAUCUCAGUGCCAUUGGUGCGCUAAUAUACCUUGCAAAUUGCACCAGGCCUGAUAUUGCAUUUACAGUAAAUUUACUAGCUAGACAUAGCGCUGCUUCAUCAAAACGUCAUUGGACGGGAGUAAAGAAUAUCCUUAGAUAUUUACAUGGCACAAAGGAUCUUGGCUUAUUCUAUCAGAAAAACCAAGAUAUGACUAUGGUAGGAUAUACUGAUGCUGGCUAUCUAUCUGAUCCUCACAAUGUCAGGUCACAAACAGGUUUCGUAUUCUUAUAUGGUGGAACUGCUUUUUCAUGGAAGUCAACAAAACAGACUCUCCUAGCAACCUCCACUAAUCAUUCUGAAAUUGUUGCAUUAUUUGAAGCAUCUAAAGAAUGUGUAUGGCUUCGCAGGAUGAUUAACCAUAUUCAAACUUCAUGUGGUGUUGGUUCAUUAGGAUCACCAACUAUUAUAUAUGAAGAUAAUGCAGCCUACAUUGCUCAAAUGCAAAUGGGUUAUGUAAAAAGUAAUAUCACAAAACAUAUUUCUCCUAAGUUAUUCUAUCCUCAUGCAUUACAGAAGGAUGGAGAAAUUGAUAUUUUACAAACUAAAUCAUGUGACAAUCUAGCAGAUUUGUUCACAAAGUCUUUACCAAAUUCAACGUUCCAGAAAUACAUUCAUGGAAUUGGUAUGAGAUGAUUCCGAGAUUUGCAAAGUUCAGGGGGAGAAAUCUCCUGAAAAUAUAACCCUUUAAUUAUCAUCAGGUAAUGAAUAUUGUACUCUUUUCCUUUAUGAGUUUUUCCAACAGGUUUCUCAUAUAAGGUUUUUAACGAGACAAUUAAAUACAAGUAUUGAUGCAUGCCAUAUCAUAUUUCUCCUUAUAUUUUUCCUACUAGGUUUUAAAGGAGUUUUUUAUGGCACAUCUCAUUGCACUCUUUUCAUUAUGAGUUUUUUUGACAUUUUCUCUCAUAAUGUUUUUAAUGAAGCAAUAUCUUAUCAAUGAUCAUAUAUCAUACUUUCUAUUUUCCCUAUCGGGGUUUUAAAGGAAGUACUCAAGACAUAUAUUGUUCUCUAAACUCAAAAAUGAGUUUUAUCCCUAUAUAAAGGUUUUCUCAAAUGAGUUAUCAUGAGGCAAUAAUCAUUAUAUGUUGCACAAUUUUUUCCUUAUUAUUUUUCCACUGGGUUUAAAGGAGUUUUAGCAACAUAUCUACACUAUUGUCCUUAUAUUUUUUCCACAGGGUUUUUGGAGGAGACUUUAAAGAUUAUACAACGACUUUUCAAGAUGAAGAUGAGGAACAUUCUUAAAGAGAAAAAUUUACAAGGAUUAUUAUUUAUCAAGAUGAUGCACAUUUACACAGACAAGCAUGGAUUAGGGAGAGUGUUAGGAAUUAAUUAAAUGUAUUAAUUAAUGGGAUAAUCCCUGCGUUGCCGGUUGCCUUGUUUUAGCAACCGUUCCUUGUAAACCGCCUCUGUAACAAGGGUAUAAAUACCCACAUCUUCAAUCAAUGAAAACACUGUUCCAUCAUUCUGUCACUUUUACUACUUUACACUCUACUCCGUUCGUUGCCUCUCUCGCGGGAUGGGAAAGGGUGUGGUGGGCCACCAGGGCUCAGGCAAAAAAAAUUAUAUGCAUAUUAAAAAAAAAUCCUGGGGGUCUGGGUGUGCUGUGGCACACCCGCUGGGUCCGCCGAUGUCCGAAAGGGUAGAUUUCCUUCUUUUUUUACUGAUGAGAUAAGAGGAAAGCGGGGGAUGGACCCAUCGUCUACAUGCACACGCGUUCGUGCACCGGACCGCACCAUCAGAAAUCGUUAUGUACCAACAGAACAUAUGUGCAGUGUAUCGUGAUCACGUAUAAUACUGUCCCAUCAUCUAUAUCUUUUGCAGCUUAUACGAUGGCACUAAAUAUAUAUGCAUUGACGCGUCGUUGUUUUGUUUGUCUACAUACCGAGAGCAAGCGAGCUCGUGUGCUCUAUCCUCGCUCUCGAUAGUGGCUAGGCCAUUCAACCUCCAUGGCUAGCAGUCUAGACUUCACACUGCGGCAGCAAGCUAAAAGCAACUCCAACAAUUUCUCUGAAAUCCUUUCCGUAAAAGUGCUUUUACACGAUGUUUAUACAUUUUAGGGAAAGUUUUCUCAAAGUUAAUUUUGCCACAUCCCAUAAAGCUUGCCUAGUUUCUUGUGGUUUCAGCCGUGCAUGUAUAUUUAACUGUUGGUUUCUUGUGGUUUCAGCCGUGCAUGUAUAUUUAGCUGUUUUUUUUAAACGACUUUGCCUCAUCUUAUUAAUAAAGAAGAAGAGAGUUGCCCGAUUGAUUAAUGAAAAACUGGGCGAAAAUCAUUACAACACGUUCACACAGGACACACACGGCGACCUGACAACCCACAUAAAAACGCACACACGUAGCCGAGGAGAGAACACCGUUGAGGCUGCAAUCCGGUUUCAUCGCCAUCACACCUGCAAGGACGACUCCGACUCCAUCAUCGACGACCAUCAAUAUAAAAUAUAGCCCUCACCGUAAGCAAACGCCGAGGCCCACGCCGACCCCUUCCAAACAGUCAACCGCACACACCAACUACCAGACAGCUCCGACUCUGUCGACGAGAAUUGUAGGAGAAAAGCACUUAGCCUUAGCCGAGCCAGGGCUAGAACCGACCACCCGCCUUGCGUCAUUGUCGCCGCAUGACGCGAGACCCCUCCUCAACAGCUCCGACUCCAGGAAGACAAACUGAGGUGCAGCAACCCCCCCCCNGAGACCGACUACCAAAACUCAACAACAAACCAAUUCCGCCAGAAGCCACCAUUGUCACCGCACAAGAAGUUGCGCCAACCACAUCACCAGUCGGGCACCUGCCGACCACGAUGUCAUGUGUGUCCAGCUCCGUGAAAGCACGAAGGAAGCCAAUGACCCUCAAGGCAAUGCCCCCAAAGGGAUAGAGCGACGUGGGAGAACGACGCCAUCACCCGACUCACAUCCGAGUCUUUGGCUUUCGCCCGAUGGCAAUGGUCCGAAGGUGUUAGGCAAGGAAAGGGUCCACAAUGACCCUCAGGCAAAUUGUUACAUUUGUUGCAAAAUAAACAUAUGCACAAAAAUGCUCAUAUUUGCAAGAUAUGCCAGUAGAACAAAGCAUCGUGCAAGAUAUAACAGGAACGGAUGCAUUGAACAUCAAAAUCUUGGCCCAGACAUUCUUUUGUGUAACAUAAGCGCCACACACAGCGGUUCUAUGCAUAUCAAACUGAAACAUUUACCAUAUAGUAAAAUGUGACGAAAACAUUCUCUGCAUCAUCAUAUGAACAAUAGGAGAGAGCGAAAAGUUCCCAUGUCAGCCUUUUUGCCAACACUGAUGAAACAAGCACUGUGUUCAAGUAAACGACAAACAGACCUCAGCUCAGUCAGUUUGUAGAUGCAGACAUGGGCCUGCUGGUGCCUAAGCUCAGUGCCUAAUCAACCCCUAAGCAGCAGCAGCUCAUCAUAUAGCUGGAUCUUCUAAGUCAGCGGUGGACAAGUUAUUGAUUCGUGGAUACGCUGCCUUUUCGCUCAACUGGUUUUGAGUCCAAAUCAACAUCUUCAACAGGCUGGGGAGUUUCGGAUCUGCCAACAUGAACACAAAGAUCAAGGAUCUUCAAUAAAACAAAAAAAUCUGGCACAAGCAUGCUAGCAGUUUGAAAAAGCCCAAAGACAGCAACGAAACUUUCAUUCUGCUUAAAAUGUAUGAAUCGAUGGUACAAAAUCAAAACAAAGGCUUGCACAUCAUGCACUACUGAGGUGAAAAAGUUUGAAUUUCCGUGUUGCGAAUGUGAAUUUUAUUUUAAAAACUUGAAAAUAUUCAUCAUGAUUUCUUUCACCACAUCUCAAAAGAUUUUCAACAAGUAUCCCUACGCAGUUAUUUGACCUAUGUUUAUCAGUGUUUUCAAUAUUGAUUGCUGGUCACGCAUUAUCAGCUCAUGGGUUACCUGUUUUGAGCAUGACCGUACCUGCUUAUAUUAAUAUUAAGUCAGGUAACCUUUUGGUACAUCUAGUUUAAAUACACCAUGUUUUUGUUCAUAUUUCAGGAUAAAUAUAUACACUUGUCAGUCUGAUUUCCUUCUACCAAAGGGUUGCUUAUUCUAAAAUAAGGAAAUUGCUAUCAUUUCAUAUGGCACAGGCAUACAGGUACGCUUCAGUGACGAUAUACCAUAAAAAAGGUAAGCAAAUAAAAAGGGUAUCACAACAUAUACAUGCCUUAGUACGUACCUUUCUCAUGGCUUUGGCUUGUAAGAAUGGCAGCGUUAACUUCACUUGCUGUCUUCAAACGUUGAGAAACAUCCAGUAGUUCCCCGUAUGGGCAGUUUUUUACAUCUUCAAAAACCAAAAGCGCUACAGUUUUCUCUAUUUCCUCGAGAAAGGCUUCCUGCAAAAUUUCACAGACCAAAAGUAAGGUCACAGAAUGGUCUUAAAUGCAGUGGUAUUAACGGAAAAAAGUCAGCUAACAGGAGGAAUUGCAUUUUGAUUGAUGCAAUUUUGAACCCUGACUCUUAACUAAGGUAAGGGAGAUAAUUUGUUUCACUAAAAAUUACAUUUUCUUCGCCUCUUGGUGCGAGUUCUUCUUGAGCAAACUCCAAAGCUUCAGGUAUUUUCCCCACACGAAUCAACUCUAUCAGCUUUUGUUGCUGCAGAUGGAAGUAUAAUUCGGGAUUCGUAUCCAGAAUCUGCAUGUCAUAAGUUGAGUCAGGAUAGCAAGUCAAAAUUUAAUGAACCCCACUAUGAAAAACGCACAAUUGGAAUCUCGGUUAUAUAGAACUAACACAAAACUUCACUCAGCAGUAUACGAUAGAUCUAAAUAUACCACCGGCUGAAAAACGAGAAAAUGUAGUUUUCGCAAUCAAACGUAGAUGCAAUUUCUGAUACGCAUAUACCUAAGUUUCACAUAGAAAAAGAACAACUUCUAACCAAAAAACAAGCAUGGUCCAAAGACAAACCACAUCUAUCACCAGUACUGGAUUAACAAUUUGGUCUACUGUGACAUGUGAAAUUAAUUAUUGUUACACCAUUGCUCACCAGCAACACAUAAUGCAGAACCCAGAAUGUCCUUAGCACAUAGAUACAGCGAAGUGCCCAGAUACUGCAAGAUCAUCGCCCCCUUCUCCAUUCUUACUAAAAUUCUAAGCAACAAAUGCAGUCUUUCUUUUUCCUUCUGAAAGAAAGGGGUUUCCCCCCAGCCCCCACUUUAAUUAUGCAAUGGCCAAAACCGGACACAAAAGCAGUUUUCUUAAUCAAACAAAGAUGUAAUUUCUGAACCGCACAUUCAUAAGUUCUACUCAGAAAAAUAACAACUUGUAGCAAAAAGCAAGUAGGGUCCAAAGGCAAACCAAGUCGAUCAUCGGUACUAACACUUUGGUUAUUUCUCAGAUCUGAAAUUGGUUGUUACAUCAUCAGUUCAUCACCCACCAGUUAUCAGUAAACAUAAUGUGGAACCCCUAUGGUCGUUAUCACAUAUAUACAGGCAUACAGCAAAAUUAACCAAAACUGUCUCCUCCAAUCUUGUACUUUCCAGAAUCCAGAUAGCCCAACACCGAAAUAGGAACUGAAUUUGGGAGAAUGAGGGGCAGAAUGGAACCGUGGGGUUGAGAUCGUUGAUCCUCUCGACGGCCUCCUGGAUGUUCCCCGACUGAACCGCCUUCUUCACCUCCAUCCGGUCGGUGAUGGUCGCCAGGUCGAUCUCCGCUGCAACACGAAACCGCGCAUCGAUCAGACCUUGCACAGGGUGCCGUCACUAGGACAGCGAGCGAGAGGGGCUCGAGCUCGAUGCGUGUAGGCAAAGGCGUGGCGUACGGUACGUUGGGUGCCGGACUCGAGGCGGAAGCGGUGGGCGGCGUCGACGAGGCCCUCGGUGACGAGGAAGUUCAUCACGAGGCGGUUCAUGUCCUCCUUGCGGAUCUUGGCGUCCCGCAGCUUCCCCUCCCACUCGUCGCGCGUCACCACCUUCUUCGAGGUCGCCAUGGAGGGCGCGGGGCAGGAGCUGACUGCGCCGCGACGACGGGGAGAGGGAAACGGCGAGGGCAACAACGCGCGCGUGAGGCGGAGGUGUUUGGGGGCGUGGGGUGUGGGCGGGAGGGGGCGUCGGCGGUGAGGUACGGCGCGGCGGCGGGGCAAGGGCAGGCGGCGGUGGAGCGUGGAACCGUCCUGGGCUGGGUUAGGUUGGUAGGGUAAAACGAUGGUGGUUAUUAGGUUGGUAAUUUUCCUAUUCUUUCACAGGACGGGCCGGGCCUACCACCUGUACUUAACCGAUUUUCUUUUCUUUUUUCUGCUUUCCGUUUUCUGGUUUCUUUUUCUGUUUUUUCUCAAAUAACCAAAAAAAUAAAAACUAUGUUUAUUUAUUUUACUUAAAUUAUUGUUUUGGUAUUUGUGUUAAUAGUUUAUUAUUGCUUUGCUCAUCAGAUAAAAAAUCAAAAACAAAUGUCAGGUAUUAUUUCAAAAAACAUAUAAUGUGUAUGCAAAAAAUAAUGAUUUUUUACAAAAUAUAACAUGUGUAAGUAAGUAUUAAUAUAUUUCCAGAAAAUGUUCAUUGUAUAUUCUACAAAUCCGUAGCACGUAUUUUCAACAAUAUGAAGCCCAUAGUAAAAGGUUAUCUUAUAUUGAAAUUUUAAAAAAGCGCACCCUGUGUAAAAAAAAUUAAUCAUGUAUUUUUUAAUGUUCAUCGUGUAUUUAAGAAAUGAUCUUAAUUUGUUCUUCAGAGGUUGAUGUGUAUAUAAAAAAUGUCAUCACAAAUUUCAAAAUAUUCAUAUUUUUAUACAAAAAAGAGUCUCCAUGUAUUUUCACUAAAUUUAAGAACUUUGCUUUCAAAUUAUUAGAAAUCUUUUGAAACAGGCUCCUGGUGUGUCCCAGUACACAUUCGUCGUAGCCAAUAUAAGCUUCUACCUCGCUACAACCUGCAACGUAUUUGAGAGCAACUAAUGGACAAGCACCCCUUCGAAAGCCUCCGAAGGAUCAUGCAGAGAGCGCGUCGCUUGGCGCACUCUCAGCGUCCGCCACAUGUCAUGCUCUGGAGGCUACCUCUGUAUAUUUUUCUUUUAUUUUAUUUUGCAUNGUGACAGGCACAGAUUUCCUUUCGUGAAAGGCAUGAAUUUGCUUCCGUGAAAGGCAUGAUCAUCCCUUUCGAAAACAAAAAAAUGUAUAUUUUUCUCUUUCAUGAGAGGCAUUGUUGUGCCUCCUUUUUGUCUCUGUUUUUCUUUGUAUUUUCAUGAAUUUUGUUUUGUCAAAAACUAUUUAAAAUUGAUCCAUUUUGAUAAAAUCUCAACACGUGAAUUCCGACAAUGAAAAUGGUUCAUGAUUUAGAAGCAUGGUUCAAAAAAUAAAAACAUUUUUAAAAAGUGAAUCUAAAAGAAUCAUAUUGAGACAAAUGGCGCAUAUACAAUACACUACUUGCGAAGGCGACAAAAGAUAAUAAUGACCUUUGCAAGCGGUAUCCUUUAGUUUUUACUAUGGAAAAUCGAUGCGUUAAGACAACGACGGAUCCAACAACGACCAACCGAGCAUCAGAUAGCUCAGCCCACAUGGCCCUAAUAUGCAAUGACUAUAGCUCACUGGGAGAUGAGAUGUCCAUAGCUCCUAUUUGGCGCGUAAGCUGUUGUAUAGUGACCUUGCGCAUAUACACCCCACCCCCUGUGCGGUGAUGCGCAGCUGACCAGUGUAUGGAUCGGCCCGCUCUGGUUUUGUCCAUGCAAAAGGGUCUAGAACAUACAUGGAAUUUGUUUUUUCUCUCUUUUUCUAGUUUUAUUUCUUUCAUCUUUUAUGUUUUCCUUAUGAUUUAUGUUUCUAUUUUUUGUUGUUGUUGUGUUUGUUUUUAUUUCUUUUUAUUUUUCUUUCUUUUUUAUCUCGCGAACAUAUUUCAAAUUCCUUAUCAUUGCUUGAAAUAGUGAAUCAUUUUAAAACCAUAAACAUUUUUCGAAUUGGAGACCAUUUUAUAGAAACCAUGAACAUUUGUUUGAAAUAGUGAACAUUUUUUACAAACUCAUAGACAUCUUCUCAAGUCAUGUUCAUCGUGUAUUAAAAUAAGUGUUUUGUAUAUAAGAAUUUAUAUGAUUUGUUGAAAAUGUUGCCUGGGUAUUUGAAAAAAUAUUAUUAUGUAUUCAAAAUAUUGAACAUGUAUUUAAAAAUGUUUAUCUUGUACUGUAAAUGUUCAUCAUGUAUUAAACAAUGUCCAUCAUAUAUAUAUAAAUUACUUACCAUGUUUUUUGAAAUAGUUGACAUAUUAAAAAAACAGUCAUGCAACGGCUAGUUCCGCAUCACAAUAUGCCCGGCGUCCUAACAUCAAUAGUGAUUAUCUUUGGUGGGCGCACAUGCAUGAUUUUAGAAAGAUACGUUGUCUAGAUAAUGUUUGAAACACACCAGGGGUUGAAAUCAUGGCCUGUGUUGGUAGGGCUCAACAGAUGCGGACUUGCGUCGUUAAUUUAUUGAAGACGUUGUCUCAGUGAUGGCGCUGGCGGUGGCGGUGGCGAGGUGUAUCAUUUUACGAAGACGUUGUCGCGGAAGAAGUUGACCUAGUCCUAGGUGGUACAUCCAUAUAUUGUACUCCCUCCGUCUCAUAAUGUAAGAGUGUUUUUCGAUACAUGUAAAAAAAACGUUCUACCAUUAUGGGACGGAGAAAGUAAUGCUUAUGCGGUCUUUGAUUUUUUUGAUUUUUUGUAUGUACUUCAUUUUUUUGAUCACUUUGACCUUGCUCCUUUGUGUUAACUUAAAUAAAAGAUGGUUGCCUGUAUCAGUUGUAGAUGUAAGGGGGUUCCAACUCCACCUUCAUGAGAAAAUACAUCUCACUUUCUGUUUGUUUUUUUUUUUGUUUUUUUUUUUUACUAUCUAGUCUAGGAUAAAAGAACCUCUCACUAAGACUGGAACUAUUUUGGCAUCCCCAAUGGCACAAGUACGGGGGGAAUUAUGAUCGACGACGCACAAAGGAAGGUCAAAGGCUCAGCGAGUUAGUUAAUCCAGCAGCAGCAAUGAGCAUGUGCUUCUUCGCUUCUCUUGCUUUGCUGCUGUUGGAAUAACAAAACAUGAGUCUUAAAGUAGAGCUACAAAAUGGGAGCCCAGAUGCUGCUGCGCCUGCACAUGGACGAAUCGGCGGCACCGACAGAACGGAGUACUCCAUCCUACGUAGGGUAUGCUCGAUCGUGCUGGCCAUGUACUCGAUGAACAUAAUGUAUGUAGUACGUGUACGUACGUAUAAGGAUUCCACGCAAAUGGUACUGAGUAUUAAGAAGCGACUAGAUUAGUUAAGGUAGCUUAAUCAGCAUUGUACUUGAUUAGUUAAGGAUGGGCCCUUCCCCACGUACGUACGCAGCAGCUUCUAAUCAAGUGCGAUUAAGCCAAGUGAUCCACGGCCGAGAGGGUUUUGUCUGAUGCGAGAGCUGGCGACCGUGCCCUGUCAGUUUUGUCUGAUGCGGGUCUUUUCCUAUAUAAUCGAAUCGCAGAUUGACACUUUUCUGCCGAAAGAAAUGCAGGAGCUGGGCAGUAACCGGGCCUACAAGCAGUUUGCAAAUCUCUACUAAUAAAGGGGGCAGUUGGUAGCUGGAUCUCACCGGUUUAAUUUCGUCACUGGUUAAUUUUCGUCCACCUCUACCUGGUUAUUUUUCGUCCACCUCUACCUGGUUAUUUUUCAUCUCUCUUUCCACCAACUGUUGUUUUUUUUUUUUGUCUCUCCUUCCACCAAAGGAUGGUUUUUUUUCGUCUCUACUUUCUCAUCGGUUAAUUUUCGUCUCCUGAUUUUUGACCAGCCACCGGUUUAUGUUUCUAUCUCCUCCCGCAAAACAAAACUCUUUGCACAAAACAAACGCCAGUCCUCAUCCCGCACAGGGUUAGGGUUCCUGUGCCGCCGCCGCCGCGCUCCUCGACCUCCUACUGCCUUGCCCCUCUCUUCCCUCGACCUCCAGGAACCGCCACGCUCGACGAUCUCUUGCAGGCGGCCCUGCACCGGCUCCCGCCCGCGAACGUCGCGUGGGCGUCCUGCUUCUGCCGCCUCUGCCGCGCCGGCGUUUCCGACCGCGCCGUGCUGGAGGCCGCCUUCCAGGCGUGCUGGGGCGUGCGUCGCGACAACAAAGUGAACCAACGUCGUCCUCAACCGCCUCCUUCGUGAAUCGCCGACGUCGUCAAUCGCCUCCGUCCAUAACUAUCGCUGCCGGUUUGAACCAGCCGUCGCCGGUCAACCGCCGCCGUAAUUGCCUUCUGUUUUCUCUAACUAAUCUAGGUAUUUGUACAGACCUAUGUACGCCCUUUUGUCCGAAUACAUCUGAGCCGGAUCUACAUAUGGUGUCGGAUCUACAAAAUUUCAUACACAAAUAUAUGCCUCAAAUCUGCCUUACAGUACAUAUGGACGUUUUACGAGCGCGGGUGCAUCUGGAAAUUUCUUCGUCUCUUCAAACUUUACUCUGCAUACAACAAAUGACGACUUCCUUUAUCAAUAGCAGAUAUGUUUUCAAAAAAGUUUUCAUCGAAAAAACAACAAGGAGAAAGCUUUUUAGCAGGCAACACUGAUCUGGUUUAGUUUACCGCUCUUAAGCAUGCAUUCAUUGUAGGUAUGGGGAAUUCAAAAAGCAAGGCUAUUGGAGGUGACAACGUUUCAGAUGUCUCUACAGGUAUAUGCUACGCUAUGAAGUUAUAAGCUCUUCAAAAUGAAUUGUACCUACAAGUGUAUUCAUUUCAAUCAACUAUCCACAUUUUAUAUCGCCUAAUGAAUGGGUCUUUGUGGUCUCAUCCUAGCUAAUUUUGUAGUUAUUUAAUCCUUCCCUACAAGUUAAAUAUGUACCUUUUACCACUGUUCGGAACCUCAUGGAUCUUAUUCAGUUUAAAUAAUUUAUCCCUUACAACCACAUAUUUUUGAACUGCCAAAUAGUUUUACCUUGCAGCUUAUCAGUUCAUCUUCCGAAUAGGCAUCACUUUCCAAAGCAUCAUGUAAUUCAUUAAUCUUUCCACUGGCAUAUGAUUUACCAAUAUCAGAAACCUGCAAGCACGGGUACUUAAGUCAGCCCAUAUUUCAAAUUGUGAUGCAAUGGUGCUCCAGUCGCACAGAUAAAAACUUUCUGAAUACAAUAACCUGAUCUACGGCUUCCUUGCAAAGUAGCAUUUUAUUUUUUACUUGCAGUAUGCAAAUAUUUGCGCUAAGAGUAUUAUACACCAUGUUAACUGCGACCUAUGAAACAUAACAGUAAGGGAGAAAUAUUACAGAUUCAUAUAUCUGAAAAUUUUCAGAAAGUGGCCAGUAUUUUUGUCAGGUUGGGCUGUUCUUCAGCAUUGUCUUCCAAGCAAGAGUAUGCUAAUUGCAUACUCUGAUUUGCACCAGAAGUACGAGCCUCGUCUGCGAAGGAGGAAUCCAUCACAGACAUGAAGUCCCUUUGUCUAAUAUUGUCAACUGCCUAUUAGAACAAAGCCAAGUCAAUCCUUUCCAUAGAUAAUGUUCAAAGUAACAUACCAGUAGUCAUAUAUUACUUCUAAUGAGAAGACACUGGUGUAAUUCCACAGCAAAAUCAGUUUCUGUAAUUAUGUUGAUGGAAUAGCUAACGUCGGAAAUGUACAAGAUCUGAUUGAGCUACCCAUUCAUUGUAGGUAUGGUGAAUUCAAAUAGCAAGGCUACUGAAGAUGACAAAGUUUCAUAUGUAGCUACAGGUAUAUGGUACGCUAUGAAGUUUACCUACAGGUGUAUGCAUUUGAAUCAACUUUCAUAAAUUAUCCUUCUAAGAUCCUGAACUUGAUGCGCACAUCAAUACCAUAAACUAAACGGAGACAAAAAUGCAGGUAAGGAAAACAGUGGUAACUUAUUAAAUAGGUAACAUCAAUCUUUACUGAUGUCUUGGAAUGAUUAGUAUCGGCUGUGAUUAUCGAUUAACUUGACGAGGAAUGGGCCUAUGGCCUUAUGCGAACCACUCGAAAAAUAUUAUGAGAGGAAUCCCAGAAUGUAGAUGUGGUGGACAAUCUCCGUGCAGCCUGCUCAACAUAUAAUCUGGAGCCUUUGUGGUCUCAUCCGAGCUAAUUUUGUAGUUAUUUAUUCGUUGCCUACAACUAUCACAUAGUAUUCAUUAGAAAAUCAUGAAGAUUAAUAGUGAACAACAUGAAACUAUGAAUAACAAACAAAUAAUGGUAGGAUUUCUCUAACAACUUGCUACAUAUAUGUUAGUAUCUCUACUCCUAAAGUGGCAGUUGCAAGCUUCUUAUACUGUCAAAUGGAACAGGUGAUUUUAUAGAUCAAGGCAUGCAUGCUGAUGAUGACGAUGCUGAUCAAAUUAAUAUAGAUGUGGCAAAUGUUGAUGAAUACAACGCAAAUGGCAUAGCCGUAGAUGACAAUGAUGACAAUGAAUACUCUACUGGACCAGGUAUUUGUUUUGCUAUAAAGUUCAGAUGUUCAUUUAUACCGCCUACUUGUAUGGGCCUUUGUGGUCUCGUCCGAGCUAAUUUUGUAGUUAUUUUAAUCGUUGCGUACAAGUUAAAUAUGUAGCUUUUACCAAUGUUCUCAACCUCAUGUAUCUGAUUCAUUUUACAGUUCAUAGUCAUGCAAAAUGAUGGAUCUGAUAGGGCUGACCAUUCAUUGUAGGUGUGGGGAAUUCAAAAAGCAAGGCUACUGAAGAUGACAUAGUUUCAGAUGUAGCUGCAGGUAUAUGCUACGUUAUGAAGUUAAGCUCUUCGAAAAUAUUAUGCUACAUGUCUCAUCCGAAGCUAGAAAAUUUAAAGAUGCCAAAUAUAAUGAUUUACUAAAAAACAAUAUACAUCUAUAAUCGUUAGCAUAGUUCUUGCAUAAUAUGUUUUUGAGGAUGAUGGAGUAUCUCUUGCUGAAAUAGCCACCCCAACUAACAUGACAGGAGGAGUUGUCUUGGAUAAUAGCAAAGAAACAAGACAAAUACCUCCAAUUGGCCGCAAAAAGGCUCCUACUGACGAACAAAGGGAUCGUAUAAACGCAAAGAGGCGGGCUUCUUAUCUGAAGAAGAAAGAUAUGCUUAACCCAAACGAGAAGACAACUCACCAAUCGACGACAGGUAAGAUUGUGAUAUGUUUCGUCAUUCUUUUUAGUAUGAAAAUGUGCUGCCUUAUUCUGGAAUGCUAACUCUCAUGUCGCAGGCCUCUUUAAUGAUAUCAGGAAUGUUCAUCAACCUUGCCAUGUGAUAGGAGGUACACUUUUCGUAUGAAAAUUUAUGUUUCAUCUUUUCGAUAGCACUACAUGCGUUAUUUUUCGUAUGACACCACGAGCUGACAUGGAAAGUAUUAAACAAACAAGGCAGACACCGGCAAUUGGACGCAAUGAAAUGUUGAGUGACGAAAAAAAUAAGCUUAUACCCUCAAACAUGCAAGCUUGUUAUGAUGCAUCGUUGUCGUUAUCAUGUACCCUUAAUCAAGAUGAAAAUGUGGAUCCCCUUACGAUAUCAGGUAGCCUUCUCAUCUAUUUUAAGUUUCAACCUAAUGAUAAAGCAUUAUACAUGGGUACUGUCUUUUUAGUAAAAUGGAUUGUUUCCUUUGUUCAAAUAGCUAACCCAACUAAUAUGACACACCAACUAACAUCACAGGAGGAGCUGUCUUGAACAAUAGCAAAGAAACAAGGCAAAUACCUCCAAUUGUCCGCAAAAACACCUUGACUGAAGAACAAAGGGAACAUAUAAACGCAAAGAGGCGGGCUUCUUAUCGGAAGAAAAAAGAUAUGCUUAACCCAGACGAGAAGACAACUCACCAAACGACGACAAGUAAGAUUGUGAUAUGUUUUGGUCAUUCUUUUUAGUAUGAGAAUGUGUUGCCUUAUUCUGGAAUGCUGACUCUCAUGUCACAGGGCUCUUUAAUGAUAUCGCGAAUGUUCAUCAACCUUGCCAUGUGAUAGGAGGUACACUUUUCGAAAACAGUCUAUGGGUUCUCUUAUGUAGGUUGUUGAUGGACGAUAAAAAUUUAUGUUUCAUCAUUAUGAUAGUACCACAUGCGUUAAUUUUCGUAUUACACCAGGAGGUGACAUGGAAAAUAUUAAACAACCAAGGCACACACCGCCAAUUGGACGCACUGAAAUGUUGAGUGACAGAAAAAAUAAGCUUGUAACCUCAAACAUGCAAGCUUGUUAUGAUGCAUCUUUGUCAUUAUCAUGUACCCUUAAUCAAGAUGAAAAUGUGGAUCCCCUUACGAUAUCAGGUAGCCUUCUUAUCUAUUUUAAGUUUCAACCUAAUGAGUUAGCAUUGUACAUGGGUACUGUCUUUUUAGUAAGAUUGAUUGUUUCCUUUGUUCAAAUAGCUAACCCAACUAAUAUGACACAAGAAGUUGUCUUGAAUAACACCAAGGAAACAAGGCAGAUACCUCCAGUUGGGCUCAAAAAAAAAUUGACGGACGAACAAAGAGAGCAGAUAAACGCAAAGAGGUGGGCUUCUUAUCGAAAGAAAAGAGAUAUGCUUAUAGGAGAUGAAAAUCUUGCUCCACAUACAAUGACAAGUAAGCUUGUGAUAUGUUUGUGAAUAUCGUAAUGAUUUAUGAAAUGUGAUUAUUUUUGGCAUAUGUUUUCAUUGUAUUGUAUAACCAUCCAACCCAGCUAGAUGCGGUGUUACAUCAUCCUCACAUGACGAUGCAGCGUUGUCAUUAUCAACGACACUCAAUCAUUAUGAAAAUGUGUCUCCCCUUACUAUAUCAGGUAGCGUUGUUAACUAUUUUAUGUUUCAUCCUAAUGAUGUAGCAUUGCACUUGAAUAAUGUAUUUUCCAAGUAUGAUGACAUAUUCUUGUUGAAACAUGACAACAGGGGUUGUCUUGGAUGACACCGAAGAAAUUAGGCUAAUACGUCCAGGUGGAUGCAAUAAAAACUUGACUGUCGAAAAAAGGGAGCAGAUAAAUGCAAAAAGACGGGCUUCUUAUCAGAAGAAAAGAGAGAUGCUCAUCGAAGAUGAAAAACUUACUCUCCAUACGAUAUCAAGUAAGAUUGUACUAACAUCUUUUUACUUCCUAAGUCCCAAAUGUUUAACAACGCCCGCUCUAUAUCUUGUAAAUAAUGAAUUGAUGAACAUGUCAUCUCACUUGAUGAUGCAGCAUCGCGUUCUUCAGCUACACUAAGACUGAUGAAAAACUGACACCCCUUACGGUAUCAGGUAAUUUUAUACCAUGCUAUAUGUUUCCUGACAAUGAUUUACCGUAAUUUGACUAUAUUCAAGUUUCUUCAUUAUAUUUGAAAAUAAUUCGAGAUGAAUGAUGACAUAUUAUUUGUUGAACCAGACAACCCAAUUAGCUCCAGCUAUACAUCCUUCUCAAUUGACGAUGCAAUGUUUCGUGCUUCAAACACACUCGCAUGUGAUGACAUUCAUGAGGAAUAUCUAGCUCGCCAUAUACUACAUUCUUCCAUUACACCUGAAGUUGUGUUCAAUAGCACCAGUGAUUUUGAAUCAGCAAACCCUACUAAGUACAACAUUGCAUCAUUAUUGACUGAGGAUGAAAAUUUGCCUCCAUCAAGUUCACAAUAUGAUAGUGCUCGUCAUAAAACCCUAGCCAAGAGGACUUACGAUAAAGAGCGCAAUUCUAAAUUAACAAUCGAGCAGAAGGAUCAUGAUAACGCAAGGAGACGAGCUGGUAAACAGAAGAAACGGGAAGAGGGCACAAUCAAUGUUCAAGAGCAAAAUCAAAGGCAACGAGAGACACGCAUGGAGCGCCGGAAAAUUAUGACUUCCGAUGAGAAGGUGCGGUCAAGUGCAAAGAGAAAGGGAAAUUACCAUAGAAUAAAAACACCCCAUCCAUAGAAUCUAUCGCAAUGCCACGGCCAGAUGUUCUGGCUCUAUCUGAUUCCGCCCCAUCAAUUACCAUUCUGUCUUACACCGUCGGAACCGAUGGUAAAAAUUUGUUAUUGUCACAAUCUUUAGAACAAAAUUUUGCUUUACCCUCUUUUGCUUACUAUCUCUACGAUGUUGCAGAAGAUAUGGGGGCAUUCAUAAGCACCAUCGUGGACGAUGAUACGAUAUCAUCCUCCUUCAUUGAUGAUGAGUAUUAUCUGUUUCGCUCGCAAGGUAUCGUUUAUGGUGAAUUAGGAGAUAGUUUGACUUUUUUGAAAUAUCUGUUUAUGCUGCUCUGAGUGCGGUGUUUGAACAAAUGCAAAUAGGAUUCGAUGAUGAUAGCCAUGAUGGAGAUGAAGUCACGAACAUGUCUAGCGCUGAGUCUGUUGACAUUGAUCCGUUCGACUUUGUCUACUCAAACCUCCCAGAUAGAACACACAUCCUGAAGCACGCCAAGAACCGCGACCACUGCAAGGCCAAGAAGUUUGAGUCUCAGACCGACGGUUUCUGUUGUCGCAAUGGGCAGAUUGAGCUCAAGGAACCAGAUCCCAUCCCCGAGCUAAUGAGGCUUUGGUCCAGCAUGGAUGCAGACUCUAGACACUUUCGGGAAAACAUACGAUUCUUUAAUGGACACUUCGCAUUCACAACCCUUGGUGUCAACCUCGAUGAAAACUACACAAACAUGAAGUCUGGUGUGUACACUUUCAGGGCGCACGGCACCAUCUACCACAACGUGCAUUCCUUCGGGCCAUGCUCACGUCCAGAACAUCUCCAGCUGUACUUCUAUGAUGACGACCCAAACCUGACCCAUCGCAAGGUUGCCACCAAACAAUUGGACCAGAAUGUCGUCAAGGUGUUAGUGGACAUACUACGUGCAAACCGUACUCACAACAAUUUCGGAGUUUGGGUGCACACAAGGAUCACCUCGAUGAUUACAUGAUAGACCUCAACACCGACCAGAGGCUUGACCAACGGAGAUAUAAUAGGCCAAUGUCAUCAGAGGUAGCUGCAAUCUGGGUCGAGGGCGCCGACGUAGCGAAAAGGUUUGAUCGUAGCAUUACACUUUUCGGUAAUGAUAAUCACAGGCACAGUAUAGGUGUCAUUGAUGGCUCUUACGACCCGUUGUCCUAUCCCCUAUUCUACCCUUGUGGGGAGCUCGGUUGGCAUCCAAAACUGCCUAAACGUAAUGUCCCUUGGGAGGUUGUACAGCAACCAAGAAGGUGGCAUGAUAAUGAGGAGGAUGCAGGUAGCCUUUUUCUUUAUUAUGUUAUUAUGAAAAUAAUAUAAGACUCAUAUGUAUACUAACUAAAGGUGCUACAUUACCUGUUGCAGAGGGUAAUAGCAGGUUAUGCGUGUCCGUGAGAGACUACUACUGUUACAGACUGCAAACACGAACUGCUAUAUUGAAUCCCAUACUUUGUGGAGCACGAUUGCUCCAACAAUGGGUGGUCGACAUGUACAUCAAGAUAGAGAGUUGUAGGUUGAGAUGGUACAGAAAGAACCAAACAAAGAUCCGUGCCGACCUUUAUAAAGGAGUUGUUGAUGCUAUCACUCCUGGGGAGACACGAGCGAGCGCUGUCGGAGUAAGGAUAGUGCUCCCUGGAACGUACCCUGGUGGCGACCGUGACAUGAAACGGAGGCAUACGGAUGCCAUGUCAAUUGUCCAUACAUAUGGGAAGCCUGACAUCUUCUUGACCAUGACCUGCAACCCUAAAUGGGAAGAGAUAUCGAACGAGCUGCUUCCUGGUCAGACAGCUCAGGACCGACCUGACCUUGUGGCUCGCGUGUUUUAUGGCAAGCUAGAGGCUAUGAAAGAGUUGUUGUUCAAAAAGCAUAUCCUGGGUGUUGUUGUUGCGUAUGUAUACGUAGUCGAGUUCCAAAAAAGAGGCCUCCCCCACGCACACUUUCUGUUGAUCAUGGAUGCAUCAUAUAAGCUCGUCGUCCCGGAGCAAUACGACCGAGUCAUUUCCGCUGAGCUCUCGGACAAGCAUAAGUAUCCAGAACUCUAUGCCUUGGUGGUCAAACAUAUGAUGCAUGGUCCAUGCGGUGCUCUCAACCCCAAUAAUGUGUGCAUGCAACAAAACAAGUGCAAGUGCAGAUACCCUCGGGCAUUCAAUGAAAACACGGCACAGGGCAAGGACCAUACCCAGUUUAUCGACGUAGAGACGACGGGCAUAGGGCUAAGGUCCGGGGUAAAGUGUUGGACAACAGGUGGGUAGCGCCUUAUAACCCUUACCUUUUGCGGAUGUUCAAUUGCCACAUCAACGUCGAGGUCUGCUCGAGCAUAAAGGCCGUCAAAUACCUCUACAAGUACAUAUACAAGGGCCACGAUAGGGCUUCUUUCAGCAUCGACCAGCCGGACGCCGAUGGAAUCAUUGAUGAGAUCAAAAGAUAUGUCGACGCGAGGUGGGUUACUCCUCCGGAGGCCAUGUGGAGAAUAUUUGGCUUCUCCUUAUGGGGGAACUCCCCGUCUGUCCUACAGUUGCCUCUUCAUCUUCCGAAUAUGCACAUGGUGGCAUUCAAUGAGCAAGCUGACUUGACCAAUGUCCUCGCCUCUGAGAAUGCUUCAAAAUCCAUGUUGACGGAGUAUUUCAAGGCUAACCAAGACCACCCGUGGGCUAGGCAUAUAUUAUACAAGGAUUUUCCUGGGAGCUUCACAUGGCAGAGAACAAAGUAUUGGAAGCCACGGGUGGAACGUUAUCAAAUAGGGCGGAUCGUGUCUGCCAAUCCAGCCGAGGGGGAGCGAUACCAUCUGCGUGUAAUACUAAACCAUGUCGCGGGCAAGACAUCCUUCGAAGACAUGCUCACCUGGAUGGCAUUCUAUGUGGUAGCUUUCGUGAGGCUGCAGAGAGGUUGGGACUCAUUGAGGCAGACAACACGCUUGACGAUUGUCUUACUGAGGCGGAGCAGUGGGCGAUGCCUUGUUCGCUCAGGAGGCUUUUCGCAACAAUCUUGGUGCAUUGCGAGCCGGGCGAUGUGCGCGGUUUAUGGGAUAGGCACUUUGAGCCUAUGUGUGAUGACUAUCGUCGAGCACACAAGUGUACAAAUGAUGUGGAGCAGAUGGUGUUGUUGGAUAUUAGAGGUAUAUUGCAGUCCAUGGGGAAAGACAUUGUAGAUUUCGCUCUUCCGUGCAUUGACGAUGAGUUCGACCCGACCGGUGGCGAGGCAAGAGAGGUGAUUGAGGAGUCCACCGUCGAGUUUGACGUGAACGACACAAAAUUGGCUUCGUCACUAAACUUGGAGCAGAGGGUUGCAUACGACGAGAUACUAGCAGCAGUUGACCGCAGUGAUGGAGGUGUAUUCUUUGUUGAUGGCCCAGGAGGUACAGGGAAGACCUUUUUGUACAGGGCGCUACUCGCCAAGGUUCGGAGCAAGGGCAACAUCGCUAUCGCUAUCGCGACUUCUGGCGUCGCCGCUUCUAUCAUGCCUGGAGGAAGGACUGCCCACUCGAGGUUCAAGAUCCCAUUGAGUUGCGAUGAUGGUGCCUCAUGCAGCUUCGCCAAGCAGAGUGGGACCGCAAAGCUACUAAGGAUGGCUUCGUUGAUACUAUGGGAUGAGGCCACCAUGACUAAGCGACAGGCGGUCGAGGCACUUGACAAUAGCAUGCGCGACAUCAUGGGAAGACGGGACCGACCCUUCGGAGGAAAGACAGUUGUUUUCGGCGGCGACUUCAGGCAGGUGUUGCCGGUCGUCAGGAGGGGGUCCCGCAGUCAGAUAAUCGAUGCAACCCUUUGAAGUUCUCACCUCUGGAAGGGUAUGCGACAGCUAAGGCUCGUCACCAACAUGAGGGCUCAUAAUGACACAUGGUUUGCGGAUUACUUGCUUAGGGUAGGCAAUGGCACCGAGGAAGCUGACGAGCAUGGCAACAUACAGCUCCCUGAAGAUAUUUGUGUGCCAUCUACAGGCGAGAUGAACGACAUGGAGAAGUUGAUUGACCAUGUGUUUCCUGGUCUAGAUGAAAACAUGUCUGAUCCCAAUUACAUGACUUGUCGUGCAAUCCUCUCCACCACAAACGACAACGUUGACAAGAUAAACUUACGCAUGAUAGAUCGUUUUAAGGGUGAAGAAGUAAUAUACCAUAGUUUUGAUAGUGCACAGGACGACCCGUAUGGCUACUACGCUCCUGAGUUCCUGAACGGAUUGACCCCCAACGGGCUUCCUCCACAUGCACUCAAAUUGAAGCUGAACUUCCCUGUCAUACUUUUGAGGAACAUUGAUCCGGCUAAUGGACUAUGUAAUGGCACUAGGCUUGUUGUUCGAGGUUUCGAGAGGAACGCCAUUGAUGCAGAAAUCAUGAUUGGACAACAUGCUGGUAGGAGGGUAUUACUUCCUCGGAUACCCCUAUGCCCAUCUGACAACGACAUGUUUCCAUUCAAGUUCAAGAGGAAGCAAUUUCCUUUAAGGCUUAGCUUUGCUAUGACAAUUAACAAGGCGUAAGGACAGACCAUCCCGAUUGUCGGUGUGUACCUACCUAACCCGGUGUUCUCUCAUGGUCAACUUUAUGUCGCGCUGUCUCGAGCCACCGCGAAGAGAAACAUAAAGAUCCUCAUUGAGAAGGAGAAGGACAAGGGAAAGAAACAGACCAAUAAAUCAAAUAAGCGAAAAAGACCCACGCUAUGCUUACAAAGGACGAUGAAGAAUAUCGUCUACAAGGAAGUCCUUACAAGCUGAAGUUUAAUGUUUCUGUGCUUUUCUCUUAUUUCUCCUUUCCGUUUUAUUUUCAUAUAUUGUUAGUGCAUUUAGAUUUCAUGAAAAAAAUUAGUCAAUAAUUAUCUAAUGUGUAUGCUGCUGCACUAACUUUCAUGAUUAAAAAGUUAUCAAUUGUGAUUAAAUAGUUCUGAUUGAGCAUAUAAUUCAAAGAAUGGUCGAGUCAAAGCGGAAGAGUGCCAAUGCACUAGGUUAGGGAGAAGGUGUGACCUGUGUAGAAAAUUUACAUCGUUAUAGAAUCCAUGCACAUAUCUUCUCCCGAAAAUGACUUUUUUGUAAUGAACCCAAUGGAGGAGUAACCUGAUAGAGCCAACGGUAAUUGUUAUUUGCUUAUAGAUAAUUUAUCACAAGAAACUAAAAACUUAGGCUGCGCAUGUGUUUAACCCAAGCAUGCACAUCAAACUGACUUUGCACCAUGUUCAGCCAUCUCAUAGCGAAGUAUUAUUUCAGUACCUCAACACCUGCAGUUUUUACCAUAAAAAACCUCAUAGUACAAAAGCACGAGAAAAAAAACUUUUGAAGGAGAAUGUUCAUAGGAAGAGUCUAUUGUAGCAUGUGCAAACUGUACUUCCUAUUAUACCAUGGUGUUCACAGUAAUGUUUUUAAUGCAUUUCUUAUGUUAUGUAUAAUAUGUUACGAUUAGCGUUCUCAGCAAUUCAUUGAAGGAUGUAAACUAAGAAGUCAAAUGCAUAUAAGAUAUAACAGUAGUCACGUUAUGUGAAGGAAACUGACUGGGAGUGACCAACCUUACCUCAGGUAACUUCAAUGAUGUAUAACUUGUGAAUGUGUGAACCUCUUAUGCCUUGAAUCUUCCAUACAAGCAAUAUAAAAGAGGAUUGUGGUUGCCAAUCCAAUCAUCUGCAGCGGACAAAGUUUUGUGAAAGUAGGCUAGCAUUUUGUAUAUGGUUAAAAUACUUUGUCCCUUAAUAACAUGAAUAAACUGUGAUAUUUAAUUAUUCAUAGAAAUAUAUGUGAGCAUCUUAUUAAAUGAAUAAUACUCUUAAGGCAAGAAUAAUAAUUUAUGAUGCUGAUCGUACGUGGAGAAUACAGAGAUUGGCCAUGUAGUCUUCAUUGCCUAAUAGGUUAUCAAUUUUAUUUUCGGCGGCUUCGUGAAGAUGGGUCAGAUAUGUUACUUCAGCAAAUUAACCUUCCUAACUAAAAUACAGUACACCACUCAUUUCAGAUUUCCACCACAAUAUUGGCAAACAUCGCUUGCAGCUUUGUGAUCAUCGGUUACCGUAUUUUAGUUACAUGAACAUAGGUUAAUUCCAAAUGUUUUCAUCAGUGGAAUACAAUGCAAGAAUUCCAUUCCCAAAAUGUUGGACAAUUUUUUUUGCUAUAUAUCAACUAUGCAUAAUACACUAAUGAGUGCAACAGUCUGACAGAUGGACGAGACCGAUGAGAUACACUAUCAAGAACAAACUAUUUUAAUUCUCUAACGAAGUAUGAAUAGAGAAAUUAUAGCCAGACAACUUAUCGUAAGCAUGAUCUCCCACAUGGCAAAAUCAUUAACUCCUUCUGAUAAGACCAGCCAAAAAGCAUAGACAGAUGCCAAGAAAACGCCAAUCUACAUAAAUUCCUUGCAAAGCAACAGAAAAUACUGAUCAAUUACUGGUUAGUCUCAUCCAGAUAGAAGGACACAAAUGUGUGCACUGCUGAACCUAAUAUUGAAUUCAAAGAGGAUACAUGACGCAACAAAGCGACUUCAUUACCAUAUAUCAAUGUGUGCACCGCCGACAAAACAAUCACGAUUUAUUCAUGAAGCUUGAAUAAAUUUUCAAGUGUCUGCUAUAACUAUUUUUUAAAGGUGGAUAAUAAAUCUUUAAAUGUUUGAAUCUGGUACCAUAAAAAUUAAAUCUUCUACACUUGGAAAGAGAUAUCGCAUUCAUUAUAAAACACACAAUUAAUGAUAGACUACGUUGACUACUUAUCACAUGGUAUUGUGGAUGUGCCAGAUAUAUUUUAUCAUGAUAUCUAGAAAGGAUAUUAAUUAAAACAUGCAAUUAAUGAUACAAUCUGGUGCUUCCAUCUAUACAAAUCAUUCAUUGAUGUACAACUGGAAAGUCUUAUAGCAAUUUUGGUGCAUAAUCAUAUAUAGAAAACAUGAGAUGCAUCAAUAUUUUGAUACAAUCUGCAACUUCCAUAUAUACAGAAUUUCCCCGCAGUCCUUUAGGCUUCCAAAAAUGCCCAUCACCACUAUAUAUAUAAGUCUCCAUCAUUGUACAUAGGAUCAUCUCCUCUUUGACACCCUCUCCUCCACGAUUAUGGUAAUCUCAUACAGGUUGACGACCUCAAGGAGAGUGAUGGCGUCGCCAUCAUUUCCUGUCAUCCCUCGUCCCAUCACCCCCCAAUUAACAGGCAUGAAAAAAUUGAGCUGCUUGUACGUCAGUUUGCCAACACCGCUGAAUUUUGUUUGUCGUUCAUGAGGUUUAUUCUAUACACAGGAACUUGACAUUUCGUCACGUCGAGAUGGAGCAUAUAUACCAGAAUUGUUGGACCAUUCGUGCAAUGGUCCAAUGGAAGGCACAAAUCAAAGUGAAUUCCAUGGGAAACAUAUACCUUCAAUGCAUACUACUGGAUCAGGAAGUAAGGCAUUGCUCAUCACUAUUUCAUAGCAUAUAUUUUGUUGUACACAUUUGAUAAACGAUUUUAUUUGCUAAUUAUGUUGAUGAUUCGUAUAUUGCUUUAGGGGACAAAAAUGGAAGCCAUUGCGUUCAACAAUCAAGUUGUUCGUUUCAACACCAUUCUUCAAACCGGCAUGUCCUAUGAAUUCACUCGUGUAGGAUUUAACCCCACUGAAAUGGCAGUUGUACAUUUCUUGUAUCUAGACAUGGAGUUUAUCAUGACACUAGAUAGUAGGACUGUGGUUAUGAUUUCGGCGCACAGGAUAUCAACGGCAAUUUGUCCAUUGUGUUUCCCACAAUUUGGGGCCAUCUACUCACUACAAGACAAACGCAUAACUGGUGCAUUUUUUAUCUUUGUUCUUGCAUAUUUUGUUAUAGAACUCAGGGUCUCAUUCUGAUUAAAUCUUCGCAGAUGUUAUUGCUAUUGUUGCCUAUGUUAGUAAGAUACAAACUCUAUGGGAUCCAAUAUAUGAUAGACAUGUCCCUUUGCUCGAAAUUGGCCUCAUGAACUUUCGGUGAGAGUCGUUUAUAAUAUGAGAUUUACAUAUGCUUUUUUGAGUUAAUUGUUGCAAACAUAAACUAAAAUUUGUUUUUGUCUGUAGACGUCAGAUAAUUUUCCUACGCAUAUAUGACGAGCACGUUGGCCGUCAAUUUGACCAUUUGCGACGCAGCGUAAAUCAGUUCGAAAAAAUAUCAAUUACUUACAUACAAUUUAAUCGAAGGCGUCAAUGCUUGCAAACUAUGCGGGAGAGCACGUUCACCUAUUCUCCUAAUAUUGAUCAUGAGGGUCAUCAUCUACAAGGCAGGUGUUGCGUACUAUUUCAAAUUUUUGUCUUUAUAUUUUCUUGUACAAUACUAUGUCAUUAAUAUCACUGACACUUAUUUUUAUUUGUAGAUAUCCAUGAAGCCAGUCUCAUGACACUUGACGAAACACGUGCCUAUGUCAACAAUAUUGUCAUGGCUAGGAACAAUGGACUCUAGAAUUAUCUUCGUGUACUCAUUAUCACAUUUCUUCAUUGAUGUAAAAAGUCAAUCGAAAUUGUGAGUUAGGCAUCUCGUUGCCAAGUGUCUUCAUGUCUUAUCUUAUGUAAUAUAAUCUUAUGUAAUAAAAAUGUAUGAUAUUCAAUAAAAAAAUCUUUGUGUGGUAUGUGUUUUGUGCAUUCAAUAUUUUGGUUGGGAAAACCUGAGAUAAGAAAACUUGCCUAUAAAUGAUCGACCGAUAAAAUCGAUAAAUCGGACGAUAAGCCGAUUUAUCUCUUAAUCGUGUGUCGACCGAUAAGUUAACGAUAAUAGACAUCCUAAACAGGUGUAAUAAAUGUACGAUAUUCAAUAAAACAAAUCUGUGUGUAGUAGGUGUUUUGGGCAUGCAAUAUUUCGGAACCAACAUCUAUGUCAGGAAGGAUAUCAAUUACCGUAGACAGACUUAAUGCCUCUUGAUUUUAAGGUAAGGUCAAUCAAUAGUUUGUUUAUUAUUUGGAAGUCAAAUAAAUUUCUAUUCCAAGUUAUGUGUCAAUCAGGAUCACAACCCUUCAUAUAAUAUCCAUUCGGUCCUAUUUCAACGCCCAGCUCUGUCCUCACAAAUUUCUGAGCACACAACACUAUAUUUUCACCAAUGGAUGGUGUGCCGGCACCCCAAGAGGCUGUCCACGCACCAGUGGAUGUUCAGCUCCAAAUGCACGAGGCAUUGCCUGCCCCACUAGCGGAUGCAUACAACGUGCAUGUCGUAGAAGAUGCUGUCGACUACAUAUUUCAAUGGAUCAUAGACGCACAAGAAGAUGAGGCAUUAAAGUAAGUUAUCUUUUCUCCAUGUUUUGUUGUAGACCAUGCUGUAUUACUCUCCUACACAACAGGAUAAAUAUAUGUUCUGUUUUUGUGAGUUGAAUCAUUCGAUAGUUUGAAUUAACCACGAUAUUUUAGAUGUGUCCAGCUCACAGCUGUUACCCAUAAGUAUGUGCUUAGUUGUGUGCUAUAUUACUUUUGUAAGCGCGCUUUGUAACAACCAGAUCAAAGCAAUAAGCAAAAUAAGCCAAGCUGGACACACCCCUAUCGCCAAACAAAUAUUGAUGAAGAAAAUGUUUCAUACCAAAUAUACUUUUUUCAUAAAUAACAAAGUAUAUUUAUAUUGUAGGUAUGGGGAAUUCAAAAAGCAAAACUUAUAUAAUUCUGUUAUUUUCAUGUUAUUAUCAUUAAGCUAACUUUGGUAUAAAACAGUGUAAUGUUUGUUCAUCCACCAAAUUUUAAUGAAUGUUUAUUUUCUCCUAUUGGCUAACAUUGUUUGGAUUUAUUUGUGGUACCCUAAUGUAGAACAGUACAUUUUUUUAUCUGUGAUACAUGUGGCCAUGUUUUUUUAGACAACUAAUAGAUUGUUACAUUAAAAAAAGAGCUACCAGAUUAUGACACAUUAUUUAGCAGAUUUUCAAUGGAAGCAACUAUUUCACUUAUCUUUGCUUUCAAUCAAUCGUCUUUAUUUAUUCACGAUUAUCAUAUUUUUGGAUAAAGUUAUAUUUUCAAAAUAAGUUCGUUACAAUAUCCUAAUGGUGAUGCAGAUAUAUGUGGAUGUUUUUUUAUUAAAAGUUGUUCUGCUUAUUUUUGGUAGCACAAUAUGGAUAAGAAGCGCACGACCAUACCAUAUCGAGAUCAGCCUACGGGUCAUCCGGGAAACAAUUUGUCUUCAUGGACAAGUUCAUCCUGAUUGCUUCAAUAUCGUAGUUCGUAAACUCGCCAGCGCUGAAGUGGAGACCACUGCAGGCACAAGGAUGUUUGGAAAGAAACAUUUCUUUGACCUGCGGUUCCAUUCUCAGGCACGGGCUCUGAGACACUCUUGGACGGAACAAGGUCCCCGCACCACGGCUCUGAUUGACAAUGCUAUUGUCGAGCCGUUUCCUAAAUAUGAUGUGUUCAACUCUACAAUUGUAAGAGACUGUUGGUAAUUCCUAUCUUAAAAUUUAAUUUUAUUAUUAUAUUAACAGUUAACAUGUGUCUAUCUACUGCAUCUUCCACGGUAUCUACUACCAUUUACUUGUGUGGAUUCAAACUACGCACUACUUGUAGUCAAUAUGGAGUGUGGGAGGUUUGUCCAUUUUGAUCCAGCCAUCGACAUCUAUAGUCGUGGAAUUAGUUUUCAUAACAGUGAGUUGAUGAAGGAAAUCACAAUGUUGAAGGAAGAAUUCAACAAUGUGUUCCAUAUGAGGAUUCCUGAUUGGAAUACCCAACUCAUGGAAUGGCCUGCUGAUGGCAUAUCUUGUACUGCCAGACGGUAAUAUACUAAAGCAGAUCACUUACAGUAUGAGCACAUUUAUAUAGUUUUUAAUAUAUACAGUUUUUAACAGCAAAGACUCCGCUUUUCAAGUGCUACAAGAGAUGGCCCACCAGACUGGUACAACGGCGUCGAUGAGGUGUAAAACAGACGUAAGUACAUAAUAAAUAGGUUUAGUGUGCAAUUUAUUUUCUAGACAUUUAUUCCAUUAUGUUUUUUUGCAUCUUUUAUAGGAUUCAAUACAGCUCAGGAAGCAACUCAUGAUCCAGAUGCUGACGAUCAAACAUAGUGAAGCGGCUGGAAACAUCCCGGUUGAAAUUAGAGAAGCCUUGAGGGUCAUAACAGACUGACUAUGGACUGAUGGGUCUAAAAAUUACCGCAAAUAAAUCUGCAAUACAUCUUUUUUAGGUGUCUGCUUCACAAUUAUCUAUUUGGCAAUACGAAUAAUUAGUUGAUAUAUUUGGUUAUCUAUUCAUUUUGUUUUACUGAUAUAUUUAAAACUCUAAAUAUCAAGUCUUGGUCUAUGUAUGAUGUUUUAGUGGUAUUGGCAUCCACUAGCUUUGUAUUACCUACAAAUUUUUAUUGGGUUGGUGUCAUACCAAACCGGUUUGGUAGUACUCAUAAACCGUAUUCAUUUUGUAUUGGACCAUGCCAGGUUCACAUGAUUCUACAAGAGCAGCCAGUUGUCGGUGUACACGCACUAGUAUCGUGGCUCGCAUCCUAUACUGAUUCGUAUCGUAUAACUUCAUCCAUACACACACUGGUAUAUGAUACAAGGUUUACUUUGUCGAAUAUCAACCCAUACAAGCUACGGAAUAUUGAACUUAAAGAUAUGAUGGUUGUAAGUCAUGUACCUUGCAUUGCCUUUAAUCUUCAAGUAUCUUCACAUGUUUGCACAUGAUCCAAAAUCUAUAUCAGGAUCAUGAUAUUCCCAACUACGUGAUUGUUCACUUUUACGUUGACCUGAAUGGAAUAACCAAAUUAAAUGAAAAUGUGUUUUAUUCUUGACUACAUAAAGUAGAAGAUGAUACGAACAUUUAUCAACCAACAGGGAGGAGGAAGAAAUUUAUUAUUAAGCUACUAUAAAGGAGAUACAUAUUCUUUUAAUAAGCCAAUUGUGAUCAGGCAAUAUUUUGUGUUCUAUGUAUGAAGCAUGUUUUUCACUCAUCUAUUACCACUAUUACGAGACAAAACUUUGAGAAGUACCAUUAGAUUAUCCAACACCUUCUAUAACCUAAGAAUAUAAGGUAUUAUGUAUGAAGUUUAAUACUAAUGAUACAGAGAUAAAAUGGACAAGUGCGAGGCUACCGAAUAACAAGUUAAAAAUUGAUAUAUGCAUGGGAGUAUGGAUCGAGAAAUUUGAAACCUGAGAAAGAAGGUCUAUGAUUUAACAUGUAAAAAUAAAGAAUAAUAGAAAUCUCGAUAAAUACAACUUGUCAUGCUACUACUUAUCUUAUGAUUUAAGCAUAUGCAUCCAUUUAUAGAAUCAACCUGUACCAAAGUAAAAUCAUAUGCUUGAGAUAACUUGGCAGAGUAUAAACAGAGUAGAAUUCAUAUGCUUGAAAUUGAAUUAGAGCAGAACUAAGUUACUAAAUAACCUACCCGUUUGACUAUGACAUUGUUGGCAUCCUCUUUAGCCACUUCUUACUUUAGUAAUGUACUAAGAUCAUGGCAUAUUUUCAAAGAUAAUACUAUCUAUCCAAACCAAACAAGAAAACACUUCAUUACAACGGGGAAUAAUUAGGGACAAUUUCACUAUGUAAAAUGCAUUGAUAAAUUUAAAAAUAGUUAUCACAGAAAAUUAAACGCCGUGCGUUGCCAUGGGCUUUCAGAAAAUAAAUAAGAUGUUACUAACUGAGUUAACCAAGAACAAUGCUGACUAAGCUAACACACAUCUUUUUUAUAUAAUCAGCUAACACAUAUCAUACUAUGAAACACAAUAAUCUUAGAGCACCUAUAGCCGGUCCCCUCAAAUCCUGCUCAAACGUCCACGGAAACUAACCAGUGGAGAAAUAUGUAUAGAGAGACAUGGGUGAGAAAGGGGCAGGCACCAUUCACUAUGUGACAUAUUAGUGUAACAAGCAUCGGUAUUAUAUACCUUGAAAUGUACAAGUACAAGGCCACAUUGCAGACCACCCAAAUAGGUUACAAUCACUAUAUUGAGAUGAUAAAGCAAAAGAACAACCAGUGAGCUUACUUAAAGUACCGUUGAUUUACAAAUUACUAACCAAUGGAGUCAUCCAGACUCAAAUGUAUCCUGACAACACCAUGGAGCAUCAGGUUGGAGCGGUUUAUUUUCUGUGAUAAUAUAUCUUCCAUUCCUGUAGUAAUAAAGUAUGAACAAUGAUUAGAGAUUAAAUAAAAAAAGAUAGAAAGACACAGUUACGAUAAAUCUUGCAUUCACACUUCAUGUAGCAUACUUAGCAUACAUAAAUUAUUUUUCUACACGGCACAGAAUAUAGUAAGUAGUUAUCUACCAGCUUUGCUUCUAAUGAAUCCAUAGUGUGUAGGGUUUAUAGCUAAUGCAAGAGCAAACAAUUGAGAACCAUAUAGCUAGAUCAAGCAAUUAUAUAUUUGAACCAUGUAUAAAUUUGACAUGAGAAUUGCUUGACACCUGAAAAUGCCAACAAUUUUGAGCUUUAAUUUGAAAGGACCCAAAGCUGAUAGAUCACUCAGUAAAUAACUCUGAAAUAUAUCACCUGCAUACCGUAAGUAUGAAUGGAAUUUGUCAAAAUAAUUCUGAAAUAUUUCAGCUUUAUAUAUACCACUUUAGGAGUAUAGAUAUGUUAGUAUGUAUGGAAUUAAUGAGAAGUUCUUUAUUUAAUUAUGAUAAUUUGAUUCUAUAGUAAGUUCAGAUUGGUUGACAUCUUUCUAAUUUAUUAACAGGUGUGCAAUCAAUGGAAAAAGGAAACAAAUCUACACCAUACAAGAAUCAAAUUUAUUAACAGGUGUGAAAUCGUUGGAAAAAGGAAAAAGAUACGACAUACAAGAAUAUAUGGUAGAAUUUGAAUACGCCAGGAUGUGCUACCCAGUGGCCCUCCGCUUUGCCUACCUAUAUAGAUAACCUCCUCUGUCAUCCUUCUUCCCCCUCCUUGUUCUCCCUUCGCCCAUCACAUAUAGCAAAGGAUAUAUCAAAGGAUCAAAACAGACAAGGCUGGAUGGUAAAUUGAGGAGGAGUACAUUGCGUAAUCAAGGAGCAUCAAGAAGUCGAGUUCCUCUAGGUAUGAACUUUCCUAGAUCUUUCACUUUUCUAAAAGUUGAGUAUUUAUUAGAUUAUGAUCAUCUGGUUCAGGUUCACUAUCAAAUUGCAAAUGAAGAAUGGCAGUGGAGAUACUGCCAACUAAUCAAAACCUAACCAAGCUAACCUAUUAGGUGGGUUAUAGCUCACAACAUGUAUUCCCAAGGCAGGUCAAAAAAUAUGUAUUCCCAAGUAGCCUCAUUAGAAAUAAUAAUAUUACAAGGUGCCAACUAUCACAAAUAUAUACAUUAACUUGGAUCUCAGUGACUAAUGAGUAAGGCGGCGGUGGGAACAAUAAGCAGGGAAAGGAAGAAGGCAAUUGCAAUGGAGGGGGGAGGAAUACAAACCAUGAGGAGGAGAUAUUGAGCAGCAUGUCGAUGACCUUCGAAUGAACAUCUCCAUCAGAUCCUCCUUGGUGCCUGCGGCAACCAAUCCUCAAACAAUUCAUAACCAUCAGCACAAAUACUGACCAUAUCGAAUUCAGCCUCUGAACAAAUUUUAUGAGGCUGCAGAGACCAGGACAGCAAGAUAUACGUAUGGGCUGGCAGUGGUAGGUGACUUACUGAUGGCAGGCGGUCUGGAUGACGGCGAGGACAGCACGUAGGGGUUGGAGCCCGUGGUCGCCACGACCGGCGGCGUCGGUGGCCGCGCCAGGUCAUCCGAGGACAUGCGAGGGUACGCCAACGGCGGCGCGACUGCCGUGUGGGCUUCGGGCUUGCAGUCCAUGUGCGCUCGGCCUCCAGUGGGCAUAGUUGACGGCUGUAAGAGAGACGUGGUGGUCGGGGUAGUGACACGGGCACGCAAUAAAGCACGUGAGACACGCAUGGAUCUAGAAUCCAGGUCAUGGAAAUCGAUCAACCUCCACUGGUAGAGUAGAAGGAGGAGGAGGGAAAUGACGGCGACCUCUCCGUCGCCGCCGGCGCCACCGUGGUGGAGAGGAUUGGAGGGGAGGGGAGACGAGGGGCGUCUGCAUCUAGAAGCCAGGCCAUGUAAAUCGACCGGCCUCCAUCGGUAGAGUAGAAGGAGGAGCAGGGAAAUCACGAAUACCUCUCCGUCACCGCCGGCGCCACCGUGGGGGAGAAGAUUGGAGGGGAGGGGAGACGAGGGGCGUCUGCAUCUAGAAGCCAGGCCAUGUAAAUCGACCGGCCUCCACCGGUAUAGUAUAAGGAGGAGCAGGUAAAUCACGAAUACCUCUCCGUCGCUGCCGGCGCUUCCGUGGGGGAGAAGAUUGGAGGGGAAGGGAGACGAGGGGCGGUUGGAUCUAGAAGCCAGGCCAUGGAAAUCGACCGUGCUUCACCGACAAAGUAGAAGGAGUAGGAGGGAAAUCACGGAUACCUCUCUGUCGCUGCCGACGCCACCGUGGGGGAGAGGAUUGGAGGGGAAGGGAGACGAGGGGCGGUUGGAUCUAGAAGCCAGUCCAUGGAAAUCGUCCGGCUUCGACCGGCAGAGUAGAAGGAGGAAGAUGGAAAUCAUGGAGACCUCUCCGUCGCUGCCGGCGCCACCGUGGGGGAGAGUAUUGGAGGGGAGGGGAGGGGAGGGGGUCGGGUGUGUCCGCAUUUGGCCGACGGCGAAUGGGUGGAGGGGAAGGGAUGAGAGGGGACGGUGGUGGGAGACGAAGGGAGUGCAGUGGGUCGAGUGAGGCAAGGAGUGGAUAGAGUUCGACUGGAAACUGAGAGAGUGAGUUUGUUUAGCCAAAUGGAGAGAGUGAGGUUAAGGGAGAUCGGCCUGGUUGGGCCGUGCGGUAUAUUGGGUCAAGGUUGGGCCCUGCUGGAUAGUCAAUUUUCAACUUAGCUAUAUCAAAAAUGCUUAAAAUGUUUUAAAAAAUAAAAAUGCCUAAAAAAAAUCUAUGAAAAAAUAUAUAUAUUAAAAGUUGUUUAAAAAACAUGUAUAUUAUAGUUGGAUCAUACAAAUCAAUUUUUAUACUUAUUAGAUAUAUUCAUAGUAUCAACAAAAAACACAAUUUUGAAAGAAUAAGCCGAAUAUACUUGGUUUAUGUUGUAUCGCUUAGCCUAUAUAAAUAUAUUUAAAUGAUUUAAGAAAUUUCAGAAGACUGCUUAUUUAAAUAUGAACAUUAUAGUUGGUUGUUUGCUGAAAUAGAAAUGCAAUGUAUUUUUUAAUAAUAUGAAAAAGCAUUGUUUGUUUAUACAAAAUAAAACCGCUGUGUUAGUUUCAGUUUUAUUAUAUAAUAUGUUUAUAUGAUGCAAUAUAAAAUAUCAUUUAUAUUUCAUUGGAGAUAGAAAGUGAUGGGUUCUACUGAUGUAACGAUGAUGGACCAGACUGAAGCAUCACGAGAAGAGGUGCAUAUAGUUAAUCCUUUUUCGUAUGUAUGUUACUCAUGAUAAUACAAAAGAUUUAUUAGUUUAUAUUAAUAUUUUCAGAAUAUAGGAGACAUAGAUAUGGAUUUUGGAGAUGCACAAAAAGAAUCCAUCGACAUGGCUUCUGAUGCGGCAUAUCUAAAAGGGGCCGAGAAUCGAUCAAUUUCUUUACAAAACAAUGACGUGGAACUAAUGAUAUCUCAUAAAAAACCAAAAAGUAAUGCCAAUUUGAAUAUUACCACACAAGGUAUUUGUUCCUGUAAUUGACAACUAGGUACUCGCACGUGGCAACUAUAUAAACGCACAUAUGCACAUCCGACCCCAAUAAGCACCUUCGAGAGCUGAGCCAGCAUAUCAUUUUAAGAUGUACAAAAUCAUCAUAGACGCUACAUCAUCGAUGGAAACGUAUCCUCCCACUAAAUACGCAUCGACAAAAAUCCUAAAACAGAUUCAGAGAUAAUACAGUACGAACAAUAAAACUUAAACCUUGUUAGACCGGAGAUAACAAUGUCUUCUAACCAUCCAAUCAUAAGUUGGUUCGUUAUUCAUCGCUGGUUCUUACUUGAUGUGGUAUCAACGUUUUCCUAUAUAUUUAUUUUUCACCAGAUUCAGCGGCCAUAAAAUGCCCUGAAUCAGUAUACCAACAAAAUAAAAUAAAAUUUUGAAUUCCUUUACAUCGGAUGUACAAACGAUCUCUGUCGUCAUCCCUCGGGCAUAUAAUCCUGCACCCUAGCUACUGCCGCCGGAGAUGGUCGAGCGCGAGCGCAAGCGUCGGCGCGAACCUUUCGACGUCGACGCGCACGUUCUGCUUGCCGAGGUAGAACUCGGCGACCUUGUCCCACCCGCUCCGGUGGACGGAAUCCGGGUCCUUGAUCGCGGGGUGGUCCGGCCCGAGCGUCUCCAGCAGCGUGCUCUCCUCCGCCUUGAUGCUGUACUGGAGGUACCGGAGCCCCAUGUCGGACGCGGGGUCGCCGAACUCCCGCUGCGCCAUCGGCUCCAGCUUGCCGUACGGCACCACCUGGAUCACCACCGCGCCCGGCGGCAGGAACGCCGCGUUGGUCAGCCCGGCGCCGUGCACGCCCAGCAGCACGUCGAACGAGUUCACGGACAUGGCCAGCUCCUUGACGCGCACGUUGAACCGCGGGUCCGCUAUGACCACCUCGAACCCGGCCUUCUCCGCCGCCUUGACGAUCUCCGGCACGUUCACGAGCUUCCGGUAGUGGCCCCGGUCGAGCAGCAUCAACCGCGGCUUCUUCUUCUUCCUGUCCACCGGCGGGCUGCUCCCCUUGGUCAGGCGGAUGGGAGCGGCGCGCGGCAGGGAGUAUGUCUCGCGGAGGAAGGCGGUGAAGUUAGCCAUGGAGAGCGGCACGCCGCCGGGGACAAGCUCAGGCACGAUGUCGAACUCCCUGUGCAUGUUGAGGCCGACGGUGACGCGCCGGAAGCACCUGAUCUGAUCGUCAUGGUCCAGGUCCACGACGUCGUACUUGGUCAGCCGCCGCACGACGGCCUCGUACUUGCCGAGCCACCAGGGCUGGAUGUUGCUGGCCAGGAGCUGGACCUCGCCGUGGUACCGCCGCGACGCCACGAACAGCGGCACCAGCGCGUCGCUGAAGUCGUGGAAGUAGUUGCCCAGGUGACCGCCGAGCCCGAUCACGAUGGCCGGGACGCGGUGCGUCACCGUGCACGCCGGCGCCGGGGACGCCGCGGACGUCGAGUCGAGCUGCGUCACCGUGAUGUUGGGGAUGCCGGUCAUGUUGUAGCGGGCGUAGGGCUGGAUGCUCCACUCCCGGCGCUCUGUUAGGGACGUGGCCGGCACCAGGGUGACGGUGUGCGCCGUGCCGUUGGUCCGGACGUCGCCGGAGACGUCGCAGGUGUAGGAGAAGGGGCUCGCUCUGCACACCACCUUGCCGUUGUCUGCUCAACAAAAAAGGACACCAUGGUUAGUCAGCUUCAUUGAGGAUUGAGCAUUUUUACUGAUCAACUGAAAUCAAUUAGAUGCAGGAAGAGAAAUGCAGUGGUCAUCUAAUUGUUUCAAAGAAACAACGAGAGUUCAUCACUUAAGCUAGCUCAGCCAGGAAUAACCCGUUGCUACCCUACUUAAAAUAGACAACCCGUGAACUAUUCUUUUUUAUUUCAGGAAGGCCCUAAAGUGCAGUCAAAUGACCUCAAUGAUUCUUGCAAAUCCUUUACUGAAUUGGCAGAGCAAGUGUUGUUUAUUUGUGAAAGUUGAACCUAGUAGUAUAAUAGAGAUGACACCAUCAAAUUUAUUUUCUGGCUCCACCCCUGCUUAUAAAAUAGUCAAACUAAGAACUAAAUUUUAUUUCGGGAAGUCUCUAAAGCGGUAAGAUAUGGUUUGGUAUCGUUAGGUCCAAAUACAAGAAACGUUUGCAACACAAAAAUCCGAAUGGUCCCUAAAGUGAUCUGGACUUUGCCAUGUGUCCCGUUGAAAAGUAUUUUCACAAUGAUGCGCUACCCUACACUUUGCGGCCAGGUCAUCAUCAAACAUGAAAAACAGGAAAGAAAAUCGUCGGCAUGUUACCGUUUACAAGGGGAAGGAAUUUGGUAUAGAUGACCUAGUAUAUAUACUAGUUUCAUCAAUAAAUUUGAUCCAAAUACCAGUACCACCACCAGUGACCACCGGAUACGUUACUAUACGUCCCAAACCUACUAAUAAUCGGAUCGGAUCAGCACAUUUAUGGUGAGCAAUCAGUGAGCAGACAGUAGGUACUCUACAUACGUCUGAAAGCCGAUCGAAUCGAAUCAAACCUUCUCUACAUUUUCUACCAGUAUCAAAUGCAUCAUCACAUCGCAUCAAAUCACAUUAAUUUUGCUUGUUUUAAAUCAGGGGAAGGAAUAUUUGGACACAUACCGAAGGGCUUGGCGGCACCGUCGUCUCUGUCUCUCUUCCCCACGCCGCGUGCGCGGUGCUCUGCUUUCGGCGGCCCUGCUUUUGGUGAGAGAAAACACAGCUGCCUUUCGUUCACUCAUUCCGUCCAUGCCGUGCCACCGACACCAAGAAGAAGAAAGAAAGAUAUUUGUGGUGCUUACCCUGUUGCCGCUGCCGCUGCCGCUGCUCUUGAGCUGGUCCGGCCUCCGCCGUCGCCUCUCCUCCUCGAUUCCGUUGCGUUAAUCCUGGUCAAUUUAGCAUAUGAUUCGAUCAGUCAGAGAGGGAGGCACGCAUCACUGUCUCCAAAGAACAAGCUGACUUCGUCGGAUUCUUUCUUUCCAGCGGCGAGGUAGUGCGGCAUUAAUGGUCUCCAGAGUCCGUACUUGAAAUUGGGGUGCUGGGAGUUACAGCAGGGGCAGGGGUGGUGGUGGUGGAUCCUAACCUGCUUCGCCGGCGCGACCGGAGGACUUGGUCGCCUGGUGCUUCUUCCGGUGCGGCGUCAUGGCGGAGACGGCUGCUGCAGAUGGACGAACACGGACGAACGAACGUAUCAAGGGAGGGGCAAGACCGGCAAGGAAUCUAGAACCGAGAGAAGAGCGAGCGAUGCGCCGGGCGGGAGCGAAGGCACGGCGGCUGUGUCGAUCACCGGGGAGUGCGUACGUACCGUCAGGGGAGGCGACGGCGAACUGCUGGGAGACGACGAAGUAGGCGAGGAGCACGAGGAGGAAGCCGGCGACGAAGCAUAGGUUGAGGUGCCGCUGCGCCCAGGCGCCCACCGUCAGCCCCUUCCCGGCAGACGCCGGCGCCGGCGCCGACUGCUUCUCCACGCUGACCAUCUCCUCCUCCGUCUACCGGCCGCGGCACGAGGUUCUUGCUCCCUUGAAUGAGCGGCGGACUGGCGUCGCUGGUUCACAUGGGAGAGAGCUGUAGAUGGCUAGGGACGGGACAGAUGGUGUGGCAUGCAGAUGCAGAUGCAGUGUGCGACUUUGGGUUGGGGUUCCCAAAGCUUCGGCGCCCGCUGGCUUUCUCCUCCAUCGAUCGGUGGCCAUUUUGUACCCAUCCGGCGGCCACCCGGGCGGCGCCUUUCGCACUUAACCCCCUACUACUACUACUACAGAGUACAUAGAACCCAACCCAACGGUUUGGUGAAUGAUGAGGAGCAAUUAAGUCGACCCUUGAGCGACCGGUGAGAGCAACUCUGGUGAGAGCAACUCUAGCAGACCCGUAAAAAAUUUACCCGUAAAACACAUUUGCGGUUUCACGAAGAUCGCGUUUGCGGGUUGAAAACAUAUGUGAUCGAACAGAACCCGUAUCAAAACCUGUAUAAUUUAAAAAAAACACUUUCGCGGAAAAAAUUACACAAACAUAGUUCAUCACAUGAUCAACAAACUACAAGCAUAGUUACACUACAUACUACGUUAAACUAGUAAUAGAGGGGUCGGCGCUCCGCCUCCUCGCGCACGCUCCGCUCCAGCGGGCUCCUCCUUCACCGGGACGAAGGCGAACGGCGCCGGCUCCUCCGGCUCCUCCUCGUCGUCCGACCACUCCCUCUUCACGGGAAGAAAGCCCAUGCCAGAGGACGAGGAGGAUCCGGCAUAGGAAGAUCUCGCGGAGGAGAAGGACGUGCUACGGCGGUCGUACUCCUCCAUCUCGCGGCGGUUGAAGCUCGCCGGCGGCGACAUCCUGCGGUCGGUCCACCUCCGGGCGUCGCGCUUCCUCGCGCCGUCCGUCCGGACGAGCCGCUCGCGCUCCGGGUCCCUCUCACGGUCGGAUCUGCUGCCGGAGCCGCGUCCGAAGCUCCACAUUCGGCCCCACAUGACGGCUGGAGGCGAGGCGGGUGGUCGCCGGCGGCGAGAAAUGUGGAGAAAGGAAAGGGGAAUCGGGUGGCUCGCGGCGGCGGGGCGAUAGGGUUUGGACCCGCAAAAUGGUCGCGGAACCGCAGUUAUACUGCUCGGGGCGUGCGGUUUAUGUGCUACGGUAAAAAAAUGUGCGGACCGGGCGAGUAUGCGGGCUCUGUUCUAACCGAAAAAUUAGGUCGAGUCCGCAUACUAGCCGGAAUUUUUAGGGACCGGACGUUUUGCGGGAUGUGCUAGAGUUGCUAUAAGGAACAAUAACUAUUAUUAGAAAGCAACAAUCCUUAACACGGGCAUCAAGCCCGAGUGAGCACAUGAUUCUAUCGUAGAGAUCAGUUUGUCCUUGUCUCAGCACCAUCAUUCAGACUGGACCUGCCACGAGUGUUAGAUCUAUCAACCAGAAUGGUCAUAUCCCGCACCAUCGUCCUAACACCAGCCUGAAAACCAUCUUCCUUACAUUUAAAUUCUACUACUAUAAAGUCGCACAAAUUCAUAUUAGUAUCACUAUACUGUUUCUUAGAGGAUGCGGUUUAGCGGAUUUGCUAAAGAUGCCAUGAGCCUCCUCUCCCCGCGCUAGACACGCAUAUGUUCCUCCCCAACCAUCCCGACCGUGACGGCAAUGAUGAGUAUACAGUAUACAUGAUCCGUAAUGCCCAAGGGACGGAUUUCACCAACUGGCGAGGUGAUAUGUGAAAAAACAUAGUAGUUUUUCCAAUGCUAAUAAGCGCGUGCGGGCCCGGAUACUGCCCGGGUCAUGCGUUUCUUUUAGCAUAACGAAGGGGCUGUUGAUCUGUCAUUCGGCUUGAUAGAAACAAAACAUGCAUGUCGUAAGCUAAACCAGCAGCUCUUGCAUCAGACAAAAAACCUUACGGCUGUGGGUCACUUGGCUUAGGUUAAUCUACAUGUCUGAUCACACUUGGAAGCACAGUUGGAAGCUGCUGCCUGGGGUCCAUGAACCCUUUUUUUUAGAUAUAAUCAGUGUGCCGAGACGCGGACAUGUGCAAGACGCAGAUGCAGACAUGUGCCCAAGUCCACCGACGAAGCCGAGGCUGGGAAAUGUUGUGAUGUGCAAAGCGUGGUGCGUGAAGACGUUCCUCCUCCCCGCGUUCGAUCAGGUUAGAGCAAUUCCAACCGUUCGAUUCACUUUAUCAGCGCGUGUUUAUUUGGUUGCCGCGGACCAAAAAUAUAUAUCAAAUGUGUCUAUGUAAAUUAAAUUGUGUCCGUUACAUAUCCGUUAGGACUGAAAUUGGUGUGAGGGGACUCAAACCAAACCCAGCACGUUGGGGGCGUUAGAGGCGCUGGGGAAAGGAAUUCNNNNNNNNNNNNNNNNNNNNNNNNNNNNNNNNNNNNNNNNNNNNNNNNNNNNNNNNNNNNNNNNNNNNNNNNNNNNNNNNNNNNNNNNNNNNNNNNNNNNAGACAAGCCUCCGAAGUCUUCGAGGUGUACUCCAUCGAUCGCAAUCCCUAUUCGACGCUCGUGAGCGUCAAAAGGGGGCACGCAGCUUCGCUCAAGCUUGAUCUYAMRUWCGUCGWSGCUSGUUCGUUUCSUUUCUUUSUUUCUUUUUUGUCUUUUCUUUUCUUCUUUCCUUUUUAUUCUUUCCUUUUCUGCUUCUGUUUCUUUUUUUAUUUUAUUUCCUUUUUCAUGCAUAAUGAAAGGUUCAUUCUUCUUUGGAAAAAGAGUUCAUUCCGUGUUUAUACACAAAAAUGUUCAUCUUAUUCCAAACAAAAAAAUGUUCAACUUAUAUUUAACGAGUCUUCACCCCAUAUUACGAAAAUGCUUAACUUAUUUUUAAAUUUGCUCAUUGUGUAUGCUAAAAUUGUUCAGCGCAUAUCACAAAAUUGUUCAAUGUGUAUUUAAAUAUUUGUUUCAUCUUAUGUCACAAAAAUGUUCAAUGUGUACUUAAAUAAUGUUCGCAUUGUAUAAAAAUAUGUUUGAAGAUUGUUCAGAGCAUAUUAAAAUGUUUAUCGUACAAAAGUUUCAACAAUCUUUUGGAAUUUUAAAAGUGUGUUCACAUUUUUCAAACGUUUGUUCACUGUAUGUAAAAAAAUGUCCAUUGCCUAUACGAGAAUUGUUCAGUGUGGAAAAAAUAGUUCACCAUAUAUUAAAAAAUGUUCAGUUGAUAUUUGAGUAAAGUUCACCAUAUACUAAAAACGUUCAAUAUGAAGUUUUAAAUUCAUUCUAUUAAAAUAUUGUUUGGAAUUUUCACCUUAUUUACAUUGUGUCUUGUUCUUAUAGUGGUGCACUGCAAUGUCGACACAGAAGAGCAUCAGCUCGACUAGUUAUACUCGCAUGCGUGUAACGAGAGGUCCCAAGUUGGAUUUUGCCGGUCAUUUGUUUUUGGUAUAUUUUGGCGGUUCGAGAUGUAAUGGGCCAGCCCAAUUUAGGGAGUCCGGAACUAAGGGGUCCUCUAUCGGUUAGCUCAUCCCUUAUAGGCCGAUCAUAUGGACCGCGUUGUUGAAGAUCAGAUUGUGUGACGACCUCAUGCUUGAGAAAGAAUGUUCCGAAGACUGUCAUGUCAUCCAAGCAAAGUAGUCUAGAUCGUCCUAUCUGUCCCCUGCUGGAGGUCGUUUGUAUGUAACCCUAGGAACCCCUGGUGUCUAUAUGAACCAGAAGUUCUCAUCCGCAUUGGAAGGUUGAUUAAUAUAGGGUUUAGCUCAUACGAUCUCAGAGAGAUCAACUCUGUAAUUCUCAUCCACAUCAAUAUAAUCGAACAGGACGUAGGGUUUUACCUCAUCAAGAGGGCCCGGACCUGGGUAAAACAAUGUCUCCUUCUUCUCGUGUAACCUAUCGAUCCAUGGUCCACAGAUCGGGACCCCCUACCUGAGAUCCGCCAGUUUUAACACCAGUAUUGAUGAUUUCAUUGAGAGUUCUGCUGUAGGAUCGCCAGAAGGAUCGAUGGUUAGCUUAAUCAUCAGCAAUCGAAUCAGCAACGGGGACAUCUUCGUUCCCGGACAGGUUCUUGCGUUCGGCAGCUUCACACUGCGCGCCAACCCGACCGACUGUUUUGACCAGAUCGGAGGCUUCGUCUCGAGUCAGGAAAUAAGGUUUGGGAAUCUCGAAUUCUCCGCCGACUCGCGGGGCAAUCUGUUCCCCGCUAAGAUCACGGUUUCGUCCGAUGAGCUCCAAAAUCUCGAAGCCUUGACUUCGAGUCUCUUGUCGGGCCAUGACCUCGGUUCCCUCGUUGUCGAAGAGUUGGCCUUGAGCCCGAACCCGACCUAAGUGCGCGCGCAACAGCAAACGGUCAUUGCCGAACACGCAUCCCUAAAGUGGCAUUGAACUGCGACAGACGCGUCUUAUGGUACCGAGUCGUUACAUGGUGGCAAAGUGUGGUAGCUCCUUGCAAUUAACUCCAGGUGUCAGGAUCUAUUCGUCCGAUCAAUUUCCAUUUUUUUUCUUUAAUCUCUUCCUUUCCAUUUAAACAUAAUCAUAUAAAAUUGCAUGAUUGGUUGCGGGAGCAUCAAUAAGAAGAAUAUACGAAAGCGCAUGCUAAUACACAAAUAUCAUCGACCGGCCCUCCCGUGUCAAAUUUAAAGGUUGGUUGAAACAUGUGGUGCCGCCAUAGCUAUGCUUAUGCACGAAAAGUACCCAAUAAUCAAAAAUUAUAUGAUUUCAUAUCACGCUUACCACAAGUAAAACAGCAUAUAUUCACCACAACACAUUGUGCGCUGUGAGUAGAGGCAUGGCGAACUGCACAGGACAGAGUGUGCUUUUUAUUCGACUUCAUCUCCGACUAGAGCGUGUGGCAUGCCAUCGCCGACGGUCACCACGCGGACACCGGCCACCUCAGGCAUAGUUAUGCUUAUGAGGCUGUGUUGAGCAUGCUGCCACAGCCAGAGCCACAACCUGAACCAUGGCCACCAGAGUUGGCAUGGUUAGUCUCCCAUGAUCAUGCCACCACAUCCACCGCCACCGCACCCGGCGCCACAGCCUGAACCGCAGCCCCCAGACUUGGCAUGGCUCAUCUUGGAGCCUUCCAUGAUCAUGCGGCCACAUCCGCCGCCACCGCAGCCGGCACCACAGCCUGAACCACAGCCCCCAGACUUGGCGUGGCUCAUCUUGGAACCUUCCWUGACCAUGCCGUCACAACCGCCGCCACCGCAGCCGGCGCCACAGCCUGAACCACAGCCCCCAGACUUGGCAUGGCUCAUCCUGGAACCUUCCUUGACCAUGCCGUCACAAN